RNAcentral lists this long non-coding RNA (80430 nucleotides) under Hordeum vulgare. Its description in RNAcentral is "long non-coding RNA (HVUL_LNC011207)". The record is from RNAcentral. Lineage: Eukaryota; Viridiplantae; Streptophyta; Magnoliopsida; Poales; Poaceae.
CGACCAACCCCUUCAAGCCGCCACAUGGUUGCGAUGGCCUCACACCUAAGUCCUUGUACGAGGAGAUCUGCCGUGACAAAACCACGACACCGUGCUAGGCCAGAAGGAAGCAUCUCCAAGGGCCAUGAAAGAGAGGAGGCCAUUGAGUUUUCUGUUGACUUUAUUCCUGAUAUUAAGACGAUUGUUGUUCCUCAGUCGCGGCAUGAGGGGAGACUGAGUGGAAAAGGCAUGCUAGGACCAAAAUCAAUAAUAUGUAGGUAUGGGCAUUCUUGGAUGCAAACACACUACAUAAUUUUACAAAAUUCUACCUUGGUGGCCCCGUAUAUCAAUGAACACAAGAAUAUUCUAUGCUCCAAAUACCAGGAGCAGUCUGGUGACUCGAUUACACAUGAACAAAUGGGGACUUUCGACGGUUGGCUGCAAACACGUCUCAGGAGUAACAAAUUGUUGGAGAUGACUUGUAGUUGUUGUCCAGGACACCAUCUUCGGCCGUAUUGACUUUCCAAGGGUACGAGAUAAAUGGGAAUACAUUUUACAAAAUCGCCCAAGAUAAAAAGAGAACCAACCAAAACAGUGGUUUCCGCUUUGAUGCAGGAAACACCAAUAGGGCAAAGGACAAAUAUUAUGGUUACAUAGAGGAGAUAUGGGAACUUGACUAUGGGCGUGAUGAUUUUAAGGUCCCUUUAUUUCGGUGCAAAUGGGUAAAUCUGAUAGGAUGCGGGGUACAGGUAGACCCGCAGUAUGAAAUGACAACAGUGGAUCUCAACAAUCUUGGGUACACAGAUUAACCAUUCAUCAUAGCCAAUGAUGUGGCGCGGGUUUUCUAUGUGAAGGUCAUGUCUACCAAACCAAGAAAAAGGAAAAAAUAAGGAAGUGAAUACAUCAUACGAUGAGACAAAGAGCCACAUAGUUCUUUCAGGGAAAAGAAAGAUCCUGGGAGUGGAGGACAAGGCAGACAUGUCAGUAGAUUAUGAAAAGUUUCAUGAAAUUACUCCCUUCAUAGUGAAGAUUUACCUAAGCAUCCUCUUAAAUGAUGAAGAUUAUUCAUGGUUACGACGCAAUAAGAAAAGGGACAAACUGGAGAGAAUCUUAGCUAGUGCAUUUUGGCAUUUGAAACAUGAUUUUAGAAUAAUUAUUUAUUAAAUUAUGAAUUUUCAAUUAUUCCUGUCCUUUUAUUAUUCAAGAUAAGCCGCUUGAGGUACGAAGGAGAUUGUACAGUUUGUACACGAAGUGCAUCCAUUUUUGUUGUAACCCUCUCAACUUUCUAGACGAUGCUAUGUGGGUGAAAUGAUGAUACCAUGCCAAAUUUCAACCUUUUCCGAGUUCAUUUGUAGUGCUUUUCAAUUUCAGGGUCAUUUGACUCAAAAAACCAUUGAAUGCAUGAAAAAUAGCAAAUGAAGUCAGAAAGGGUUGAAAAUUGCUGAUGUGGCUUUGAAUGGUGCAUAUUGAAUGCGCAAAAAGUUUGGAGUAGAAAUAAGCUUAAAAAUGAAAUGCCUUUGUAACAAAUGAGUUUUUGUCCGAAACCAUCAUACUUUGAAAGAGAUUGUCCAGUUCGUACACGACGUUCAUCCAGUUUUUGCCGUAACUCUCUCAACUUUUUAUCACAUGCUAUGUGGGUGAAAUGAUGAUAGCAUGCCAAAUUUCAACCUUUUCAGAGUUCAUUUGUAGUGCUUUUCAAAGUAAUAUGUGGGUGAAAUGAUGAUCCGGAAGAAACAUUUUGACAGCAUUAAUCGCCCCGUGUCAUAUUUUCAAAAACAUAUUGAUAAACCACCACCCAAUGCUAGCCCUUGAAUGCGAAAUGUUGCGGGAAUGGUACCUAUGAAAAAUAUCUCUAUAGAGCUAUUAGUCACUCUUUGAUGAAAACCUAUAUAAUCAAUCAUUGCAUUCAUACAAUCAUUCACUCUAGCAAGCAUUCCAGUAAUCAAAAUACAAUCAAUGAAUAAAGCAAUAAAUAAAACAAUAAGGUUAUUAGGUUAAAAAAAGUAUUUUAUAAUAUUCUUCAAUAGCAAAAAGAAUCAACUAGAAAGCUUUUAUAAAACUCUUGUUAUGAUCAAAAUAUUAUUAACUUAACAUUAUAUAAAAUUUAACCAACUAAAAUUUUCAUGAAGUAUUUUUUCUUAAAAACUUUAAUAGUAAACAUAAUUAAAUGAAAACUAGGCAUGUAUGCAUCUGUUUAAAAGAAAACUAGGCAUGUAUUUUUUUCUCCAACGUAUCGAUAAUUUUUUAUUGUUCCAUGCUAUUAUAUUAUAUGUUUUGGAUGUUUUAUAUGCAUUUAUAUGUUGUUUUAUAUUAUUUUUGGGACUAACCUAUUAAUCUAGAGUCUAGUGCGAGUUUCUGUUUUUCCACAUUUUUGAAUAUUGUAGAUAAAGAAUAUUAAAUGGAGUCCAAAUGGAAUAAAAUCUGCGAAAAGAUUUUUUUCUCGACGAGAAGACACGUAACAUACUUAGGGUAGGGGGCAAGGCAGUUGUCGGGAGGCCACAAGCCUGCAGGGAGCAACGAGAACACUUUUACGCCGCCGGGAAACCCCUGCACGUCUUCUAACCCUAACUCUUGGCCUAUAAAUUCCCAAAUAUUCCAGAAACACUAGAGGGAGCAACGAGAAUGCUUUUACGCCGCCGGGAGCCUCUGUUCCCAAGAGAUCCAAUCUGGAAGCCUUGUCCGGCAAUCUGCUGGAGAGGGAAUUGAUCACGGAGGGCAUCUACAUCAACUCCAUUGCCCCUCUGAUGAUGUGUGAGUAGUUCACCACAGACCUAUGGGUACAUAGCUAGUAGCUAGAUGGCUUCUUCUCUCUCUUUGAUCUUCAAUACGAUGUUCUUCAUGAUCUUCAUGGAGAUCUAUCCGAUGUAAUACUCUUUUGCGGUGUGUUAGUCGAGAUCCGAUGAAUUGUGAGUUUAUGUUCAGAUUAUCCAUGAAUAUUAUUUGAAUCUCUUUUGAAUUCUUAUAUGCAUUAUUUCAUAUCCUUGCAAUUCUCUUUGAAUUAUUUGUUUUGUUUAGCCAACUAGAUUGAUAAUUCUUGCAAUGAGAGAAGUGCUUAGUUUUGGGUUUAAUCUUGCGGUGUCCUCACCCAGUGACAGUAAGGGGUAGCAAGGCACGUAUUGUAUUGUUGCCAUCAAGGGUAAAAAGAUGGGGUUUUCAUCAUAUUGCUUGAGUUUAUCCCUCUACAUCAUAGCAUCUUACUUAAUGUGUUACUCUGUUCUUCAUGAACUUAAUACUCUAGAUGCAGGCAUGAGUCGGUCGAUGUGUGGAGUAAUAGUAGUAGAUGCAGAAUCGUUUCGGUCUACUUGAUACGGACGUGAUGCCUAUAUGCAUAAUCAUUCCCUUGGAUAUCUUCAUAAUUAUUUGCUUUUCUAUCCAUUGCUCAACAGUAAUUUGUUCACCCAUCGUAUUAUUUUCCUUUAUGAGAGAAGCCUCUAGUGAAACCUAUGGCCCCAGGGUCUAUUUUUCAUAUCAUAUUUUCAGAUCUAUAAACCAAAAAUACCAAAAAUACUUUGCUACAAUUUAUUUACUUUAGUUUUACUUUCAGAUCUAUCAAUAUUUAAUACCUAUCUCUAUCAGAUCUCACCCUUGCAAAUAACUCUCAAGGGAUUGACAACCCCUUUAAAGCUUUGGGUGCAAGUUUUUGAUUAUUUGUGUAGGUACUACUAUUGGAGUCUUGUUUGUUACUCCUACUGGAUUGAUACCUUGAUUGUCAACAAACUGAGAGAAAUACUUAUCUACUUGGUUGCAUCACCCUUUCCUCUUCAAGGGAAAAUCAACGCAAGCUCAAGAGGUAGCAAGCGCCGCCCCAAUCCCCUACACUUCAUUAACCCUGAUGCCCUCGGCGCCGUCGCCUCCCACACCGUUGCCGACGCGCCCCCCACGCUAUCCCCGAGCCCUUCCUCGUCGCCGACGCCUCUUCGCUAUGAGUGCCCCCCGAUCCCCUCCUCCCGUCGAGGGAGUUGAAAAUGUUUUGGCAAAACGUGGGUUCAUUUAUGUAUCAUCGAAUUUCUGGCAUUCAGUAUGUCCAUUUUUUACCAAUGGUCUUGUCAAUUUUUCCAUUGAUUUUUUAUUCUAUGCAUGCAACACAAAAUGGAAGAAUGCCCGUAUAGUUUUGACGCAGCUGUAUGUGCGACGAUCCUCACCUUGACUAUAGUAAAUGUUAUUCCAUCACUCUACAAUGUGACUACAACUAUUAUAAUUUUAAGUUUGCUAGCAAAUACAAUUUUCUGUUUUCCUUCAAACUGUAAUUUAUGUUUUAUAUUUGUCAACUAGUGUGUCCCUUGCUAUGCAAGACCUUUUCUCCUAGACAAAUUUUUUGUUAGUGACAUGGAAGAAGUGACUCAGAUGACUACUUACCUCAAGAUGAAAGGUGGUUUCAAUUUCAAAUGUACGAUCUAUAAUUAGGUAGAUCAUACAUAUUCUAGUUGUGCUAAUAGAAAGGAUUGACCAAAGCAUACGGUUUUGAGCCUGUUAUGAAAAUAACAUUUGAUAUUGGCACAUAUUCUGUAAGUGAUGACGACACAUGGGUGAAUUUAGACAUGAUGCCCACCUCCGUGUAAGUUUCUUAGAUAGGCUUGUUAAAUAACACUUAGAUUAUACACCAAAAUAGAUGUUAUUCAACUAGAACUUAUCUUCUUUAUUUAGAAUUGAUAGCUUAUUUUCUAUCUCCAAGAAAUAUAAGGGACAUAGUAGACGACACCUAUUACACUAUCUGCAGUAUGCUUACUUGGCAGGAAAAAUGUUACCUUAUGUUCUUUCUUGCUAACAUUGAGUCCCUUAAGGGCAUUUAUGGGGCUUGUCCGAAUGAUGCACGACACCUGCCACUAGUCCAUACCUUGAACAAAGGCAACAUUUGUGGAAAAUGCAUGGUAAGAGUUUCGACUAUAGCAUGUCUUUCACAUAUUUGCUUUCUUCUUACAGAAGUCAAGUGUCGGUUACUAAAUGUUGCUUAGUAUGUUACUAUUUCGUUCAAGGACAGAAGCUCUCAAGAUGGGUUGUGCCUCCGAUGAUGGAUGACCACGAGGAUGUUAUGGCAAUUAUUUUUGCCCACAAGAUCUAUUUCAGAGGUACAUACUUGAUUACACUAGAUGGGCAUCUUAAAAUAAAUGAAUGGAAGCAACUAGUGAGUGACUGCAACUUGAAGAUUGGGGAUUGGUGGCUCUGCGUACUCCACCAUGGAGAUGCAGGGUUUUUUCUAUACUUCAAGAUUGUUCCUACAGGAGAGGAGUACCGUAUUAGUAGUUACGAUGGUUAAUGUUUGUAUAUAUAUAUAAAUGAUGUGUACCAUAAUAUUAAUUAUAUUUUACGUGUUGUAAUAUCUCAUCGGCAUCAAUUUGGGAUGCAAAUGUGGUUCUCUAUAUAAUGAUACAAAAUUGCGUUGUCGUGGAGGCAUUUUUCGCUGCCAUGGCAGCAUUUUUGCUGCGUUUUGUCAAUUAGUAAUGACGUGUGGAAAAAUGUACGACGUCCGUAAUGAUCUCCCUAGUUUCUAACAUUUGGAAAGAUUGCACGCUAUAUAUAUGUAUGAUAUUGUUGUCAUGGAGAUAUGACCAACGCCAUAGCUACCUGAAAUACUGUUGGCGCUGGCUCCAACGUCACCACAAUUUUUAAUUGAUGCGCCAUAUUGGUAGUAUCGGGUGUCCAUGCCAGUAAGGCCGUUUUUACCACUCCAUAGAGAAGCUUUUCUACACUAGUGUUAAUUUCAAUCCAGUUGAAAGUCACCCUUUACUCGCAAGUAGUCUCGUACUUUGUUCUUCUCCUUGUUGCAAAUCCCUUCUCGAGUCGCAAUUGGGCCUGUAGUAGGUGUUUUUGCACUUGCAAGUUCAUCCCUCGACUCGCAACUGGGCCCAUACGUGUUGUCGACUUACCGUUUUGAAGCCCAUGCCUGGGCUCGCAACAAGGCCCAUAUGUGUUGUAGUCUUCCUCUUUGCAAGCCCACCCCCUCGACUCGCAUCCCUCCCUAUAGUUUUUUCUAACCCAGUUUCAAGUCCAUCCUUCACUCACAAACCGGGCCCGUACUUUUUGCUCUUUCCAAGUUAUAAGUCCCCCUCGAGUCGCAACUAGGGCCCAUAGGGUGUAGUUGUUGUCCCACUUGCAAACCCAUCACUCGACUCGCAAUUCGGGCCCAUGGGUGUUUCCAACUAGGUUCUAAGUUCAUCCUCCUCUCGCAAUUGGGACGUAUCUUUUGUUUUUGUCCCAGUUACCAGUCCUGCUCGAAUAGCAACUCGUCUCAUAGGUAUUCUUUUCUUCCCAAUUUCAAGCCAAUCCCUUGGACUCGCAACUUGGCUCCUAGUUAUUUUCAACCGAGUUGCAAGUCCAUUUUUGACUUGCAAAUGGGCCCAUAUUUUUUAUUCUUGCACCCAUUUCAAGUCCCCCCUUGACUUGUAACUCGACCUGUACUUGCCCUUGUCCUAGUUGCAAGUCCCCCAUCGAUUCGAAAUGGGCCCGUCGUAAGUGUGGUCCGACUUGCAAUGCAUUCCUCGACUCACAACUGGCCCCAUAUGUGUUGGUCUUCCCUGUAGCAAGCCUACCUCUCGAUUUGCAACUUGCCAUGUACUUAUUUCCAAUCCCGUUGCAUGACCAUCGACUAGCAAGUCCACCGAUGUUGGUGUCGUCCUGGUUCCAAGCCCGCCCCUCAAAUCUCCUUUACGCCAUUCACUGCGGCACAAUGUCAUUGUAUCACACAACGGUAGAAGCGAGCAAAUUGCAGAUGGAUCGGCCCAAGUCGCUAUGAUCCAUUUUGCUUGUCUUGUUUUUCUUCAUGGUUUGUCCUUGUUUAUCAGCCUGGGCAUUUGGGUACCCUAACCCGCUACCCGAGCCCGAACUGAACCGAAUUACUUGACAAUUCGGGUAAUUCGGGUAUCGGGUUAGGGUUCGGUUCUCAUUUCCUGGCUAUUCGGUUUUCGGGUUGGGGUUCGGGUUCUAGUCUGAAAAACCCGAAAUACCCAUACUACUCGAAUUAUUCAUACUAGCCAAAUUAUUCAUGCUAUUAUUACACUCACAUGUUACCCAUACUAACUAAAAUAGCGAGACUAUCCAAAAUACCCACACUACCCAAAUUAUUUAUACCAAAAUUUGAUGUGUGCUCCAAAUAUUUUGGGAUCUUUGGGUACCCAAAUUAUCCGAACCAAAAUUUUGGGUAAUUUGAGUUUGGGUACUUUUUUGGCAGAAAAAUUCGGGUUCCCAUUUUGAGUACACAAAUUACCCAUAAACCGAACUAUCCGAACCGAAAUAACCAAAGUACCCGAACGCCCACGUUGACUUGUUUAUCCCUUUUUUCCUUUUUUUUCUUCGCUAGCUUUUCUUUCCUUUUUAAUUUUUUUGUUUUUUAAAAAUAUUAUUUUUUAUUUUCAUUUUAUUAUUAAUCAUUGUUUAGAAAGUGUAUAAUUUGAAAAAAAAAAUCUUUUUCAAAAAGUGCUUGGAUUUUUCAAAAGCAAAUUAAGUUCUUGUUAUUCAAAAAAUAAUUGCAGGUUUAAAAAAUGAUUGUGUUUUAAAAAAAAUACUCAAAUGCUGAAAUAUUUAUUCCAUUUUAAAAAAAUGUUCACAAAUGAUGUCCGUCUGUCAGUAACUCUUAAGCUUUACAUAUACUGGACCAAGGGUGACACCAUGUUAGAUGACCCCUAGUCACAAAAAACAAUUCAAAAACUUAAAAAUUGUUUGUAUUCUCAUAAAUAUCCCUCAUAUUUCAAAAUUCUUCAUAAUUUGCAGAAAAAUUAACUUCUUUUCAAAAAUGUCUACAAAUCUUCACGCUUUACUUUGUUCUUAAGUGUUUCCCGCUUCUAAAACAUCACAAACAUUGAUGUGUUGUAAUGGUAAGAGUUGGUGCUCAGCAGUAUGAGGUCCUAUGUUUGAUUCUUUAGGAGCGCAAUAUGUAUCUCUUUUUGUUGCACUUAAAAAGAAUCCAAAAAACAAAUAUUCCCUCGGUGCCUAAAUAUAAGUCUUUUAGGAGGUUUCAGUAAGGGGACUACAUGCGGAUGUAUAUAAACAUAUUUUAGAGUAUAGAUUCACUUAUUUUGCUUCGUAGGUAAUCUCUAGUAAAAUCUUUAAAAAGACUUAUAUUUAAAAAUGAAGGGAGUAAUAAAAGUUAGAUGUGAGGUAUUAUGUCACGUCUAGAUGAGAUGUGACAUAGUUGGAUCCUUUCCUUUUGGUGGAGUAUUUUGCCCACGGCCUGGAUGCAGGAGGCCCAACCGUGGCUUGAGAGCAGAAAUAAUAAAUCACGGCAUAAUGAGCAUUGUAGUUAGCAAGUCCUUGCCGGUGGUGGUCGUCGGCCCUUGCGCCGGCAUCGUCCAUCUCUCCUCUUUCGACAGGUGCAUGCCUCCCUUCCCAGUCACUCUGCUUCUUGUCUUCAACCAGCCAAUCGAAGACCCCGUCGAGACCAUCAAGAAGGCGCUGUCGCAGGCGCUGAUGCACUAUCCCCCGAUGGCCGGCCGCACCGGCGACGACGGGGAGGGGGAGCUCCACAUCGCUUGCACCGGCGAGGGUGUCUCUUUCGUGGGUGCGUCGGCUAGCUGUGCCCUCGACGACGAGGCCACGAGAUCGGCGCUGCUCCUCAGCGACCUCGCCGUUGGCUACCCCGCCGAAUACUGCCGCCUCAGCGACCCCUUCCUGCUUAUGCAGGUGACCGAGUUCUCCCGCGGCGGGUUCAUCGUCGGCGUGACGUGGAACCACGUCAUGGCCGACGCGGCGGGGAUGGCGCAGUUCCUGCGGGCCGUUGGCGAGCUCGCCCGGGGGAUGCCGGCGCCGGCCGUCGCUCCGGUCAGGUCUGAAAUCGACGGCUCGGUGCCACGACUCCCGCCGCUGAUGGUCGCCGCUGUGAGGUCCCAGAUGCGCAUGGAAACGGAGGAACUCGCGAGCCUCGACGUCACCAUCCCCUCGAGCUUGAUCGGCCGCAUCAAAGAAGAGUGCGCCGGCGACUGCACGGUGUUCGAAGCCGUCGCAGCCGUGCUCUGGCGGUGCCGCACCCGCACGGUCAUCUCCGAUGCUGACACCGACGACCCUGUGGCCUUCGCCUUCCCGAGCAACGUGCGCGGCCUCGUCGGCGCCAAGGAAGGCUACUACGGCAAUUGCGUCGCCAUGCUGCAGGUCCAAGCCAGUAGCGCCGCGGUGGCGAGCGGCGACAUGAAGGACCUGGUGAAGCUCAUCAAGCUUGCAAAGGAGAAGGUAUCAGACAUAUUCGUGAAUGCCGGCGACGAGACCAGCGACGGUGCCAGUAGAGAUGAGCAGCAGCGGGCACACCCGCGCUCAAGGUACAACACGCUGAGUGUCACGAGCUGGAGGAACCUUGGGUUCGAAGCCGUGGAUUUCGGGCCUGGGAGGCCGGCGCGCGUGAUGUGGAAGCCACACCGGACGAUUGGGUUCGUCUGCGUUGUGUGCCCGCCGUGCAAUGCAAGGGGGGAGGACGGCGUCAACGUCGCGUCCUUUUGCGUCAAGCCGGAGCACGCCGGCGCGUUUGUAGCGGAGUUGGCGGCCCUCAACAUAUAAAUGCGAAUUCGUAGUAUCAUGUACUAGUAUCAUAUAAUCCCUCCGUUCCUAAAUAUAAGUCUUUUAAUCAAUUUCACUAAGAGACUACAUACAGAGCAAAAUGAAUAAAUCUACAAUCUAAAGUAUGUCUAUAUACAUCCGUAUAUAGUCCUUUAGUGGAAUAUCUAAAAAGACUUAUAUUAUGGAACGGAGGGAGUAUAUGAUAGUAGUGUAUGAUACCACAUCCGUAAUGCAUAGUAUCAUACGUUACUAUCAUAGAAUAGUUCAUUUAUUGUAAUGCAAGACACAUACAGUAGACCAAGCAGCUAGCUUGGUAAGCUACCAGCAAAAACUUGCAAUCAAUCAAAAAAAAAGACACAUACAGUAGUAGCACAUCAUUUAAUAUGAUACGAUAUCAUGGUAUGGUACUCAACCCUUUCUUUUUUCAUUUAAUUCUAUGUCACCUCAUCGAAAUUGCCUAGUUGGCAUGCAUGUACUACCUAUGAUACUACCAUUACGGGCAGCUUAAUACUUCAUUUUCAAUCAGAGUGUAAACCUAAAAUGGACGAAUUAAUUAGUCUCGCACUUUUUUUCAUACUACUCCAUCUGUCCCGGUGUAUAAGUCAUCUUACGAAACCAAAUAAUUUCAAAAUACUUAACCGCGGUAUUUUUUUUUAAUUUUUUGACAUGAAUAAAGGAAUCACCAAUAAAAGGCGGGAGACAUGUAUGUUUUUAAUGAUGUGAGACUAACUAGCACGACAUGCGGUGAUCAAUUCAUUGCAUGUAAUUGUAUUAAUUAGAAAACUAGCAUUGAUUUUUCUCGUUUUCCUUUUCGUCUUUGUCACGGUACAUAACCUAAGAUGACUUAUACACCGAAACGACGGGAGGAACAAACAUGCAUGCCCACACCACGUCUCUCUUCUCGUACUUGUAUGCCGUGCCCUUUUGCAUAAAGUCCGAGCAAUUCGACGCUUUGUUAGUGGAGUUGACUGCCCCCAAAAUAUAAUGCCAACUACAUCUUUGAUGGUGCAUGUUGCAAGAACCGCCUAUUUUUAUGAAAUAAUAAAUAGUUUUUAUUUAUAUAUUUGUCCAUAAAUAAAGUUUUAAAAGAUGGAUAUAAAUUUAUUCUUAAAGUUUAGAUGAUGCAAAUAGUUGAAAAGUAUUUGCCCUACUCAUACUAAGUAACAUAAUACAAAUAACAUUAGGAAUCAGUUCUUUGAGCUUGUGUUGGACCCUGAAUUUUAUGAAACAUACUUACAUUAAUAAAAUGGUUGCAUGCAUCGUCAUGAUACAGAGACCGGGGACGAUCCUUGUUUUAUUUUUGAAAAGGCUUGCAUGGCAAGUACAAUAAAGCCCAAUCAACCACAUGUCUUCAAAACUGCCACAAGAAUAGUGGCCCAAUAGGACAAACAUGCCAGAUCACGGUAAACUGAAGCUGGAACAGAGAUCUAAAGGCUAGAAAUGAUCUAAACGUGAAAUACAACGACCGAAAUUUGUUGGGCGCUCAGUUUAGAUGCACUUUUAUUGUCCUCAAUUCAUAGUGCAUUUACAAUUCCCAAAAUAAUUUCUUCAAAUUUUGGGGUGAACCUAAAAUGGACCAAUCAAACGAUCCCAAACGGUUUUCUCAUAUAUGGUUACCUUUGCUUAUUGAUUUUUUUAGUACGGUUCAUAAGUUUUUCUUGAAUGAUUUUAAGAUUGAUACGCCUCUGCGACGAGGACCCCGACGCCUCUGCGCCCCUCGCGUUCACGAGCAACGUGUGUGGUCUCAUCGGCGCCAAGGAAGGCUACUACGGCAACUGUGUCAUCGUCCAGGUGAUACAAACAACAAGCGGUACAGUGGCGAGCGGAAAAAUCAAAGACCUCGUGGAGCUCAUCGGGCUUGCCAAGGAGAAGGUAUCAAACAUAUUCGUGAAUGGUGGCGAUGAGACCGGUGCCGGUGGUGGAGAUCAACAUCAGCUGGCAGCCGCGAGGUACAACACUCUUUGUAUCUCGAGCUGGAGGAACGUUGGGUUUGAAGCUGCGGAUUUCGAGGGUCGGCUGCGCCUCUAGCCACACAAUAUACAGCUCUUUUUAAUAUUGUACAAAGUAAGGAUUCUUAUGUUGCUACAAUUAUGCAACCAGUUCCUCUCAAUAUUCAGUUUAGGAGAUCUCUAGUAGGGGAAUGAUGCAAUGCAUGGCUCCAUCUAGUUCGCAGAUUGAUGGAAAUUCACUUGUCGGAAGAACCUGACACGAUUCAUUGAAGAUUAACUAUAAGCGGUAGUUUUUCAGUGAAAUCAAUGUAUCUGGAUAUUAUCAAUGCCGUAAUAAUACCCACUUGUCCACACAUUUUGAAAAUUAAAGUAUCUCUGAAGAUUAAGAUUUUCACGUGGUUUGUUCAUAAAGGACUUAUACUUACAAAAGAUAAUUUGGUUAAACGAAAAUUGGUAGAGGUAAUUCUAGAUGCUGCUUUUGUGAUCACAACGAGACUACUAAACACCUCUUUCUCGAGUGCCCUUUGACAAGACUUUUUAUGGUGUAGAUACGUCUCCAGCGUAGCUAUAAUUUAUAAAGUAAUCAUGCCAUGUUUAUCAUAAUUCUAUAUGAUUUUGGUAUGGUUUGAUUAGAACUAACCCGGACUGACGUUGUUUUCAGCAGAACUAUUGUGGUGUUGUUUUUUGUGCAGAAAUAAAAGUUCUUCAAAUGCAACAAAACUUUUAGACAAUUUUUUAUAUAAGGAAAUAGCCCGAGGAAGCUUCGAGGAAGAACCAGAAGAUGCUCAGGGUGCCCACACAACACCAUCGCACGCCCCCUGGGCGCGCCCUGAUGUUGUGUGGCCCCCCUGAGGCCCAUCUCCGCGUGAUUCCGACACUGAAAAAUCAUAUAUAUCAAGAAACCUCCGAAAGUUAACUAAGAACUUGGACUCCGCCGCCGCACGCCACUGUAUCCUCCAAAAAGCAAUCUGGACCCUCUUCCGGCACCCUGUCGGAGGGGGAAAUCAUCACCGGAGGCCAUCUUCAUCAUCCCGACAGCCACCAUGACAUGGAGGGAGUAGUCCACCCUCGAGGGUAGGGGUAUGUACUAGUAGCUAUGUUUUUGAUAUCUCUCUCCUGUGAUAAUGAGAUGUCACGAUCUUGAUGUAUCAUGGGCAUUGUUGAUAUAGAUGGAUCAUAUGAUGUUUCUCUCCUCUCCAUCCUUGGUGUGAUGAAUUGAAUCUUUUCCCUUUGAAGUUUUGUUAUUGUCAGAUUGAAUAUUCAGAUUUGGGAACACAUGAUGUAUGUCUUGCAUAAUCAAUAUUCGAGGUGACAAUGGGGUAUCAUAUUGAUUCACUUGAUGUAUGUUGUGGCACUCAACUUGCUGAUUCCUGUACUGACAUUGGGGUAAUCUAUGCAUAUGGGUUGAUGCACGUUUUCAUUAUCUUUUCUCUGAUAGAAACUUUGGGGAGUCCUUGUAGUUCUUUGUGUGGAUUGAAUAUUAUGAUUAUGAAGUUGUUUGAUGCAUAACGUAGAAUCAACUCACGAAUACUUGUGGUGACAUUGGAGUAUCUAGGUGACAUUAGAGUUGGUUGAUGUUGGGGAUAUAACCCCACGGUAUAAACCGUCCUAUUGGUCUGGGUUACUGAAGAUGGUGACUCAACGUUCAUAGUCAGGGCGGCCCCUGAUGUGCAAGAUUGGAGGCGCAAGGCGGGUCACCAAGAUGAGACCGUUGGCGGCCCAGGACACGAAGAUGGCGAUUUAAGGCCCAAAAGGAAGAAGGUCGCCAGGAGUUUCCUUGCUUAGGAGCAAGGCGAGUUAGAGACAUAUCGGGUCACAAAUCAUAACGUGACCCGGGUUCUUGUAAGCUUAGGGUCUCGACCUGUAUAUAAAGGCGAGUCCCCAAGGACAAUAGACUUAAGUUACAAUCCAUCGAGAGCCAAAUCAAGCGAAUUCGCACCCUUGUAAUCAAUUUCAUCAUCAAUAUACACAAAGCAGGACGUAGGACUUUACCUCCAUCGGAGGGGCCGAACCUGGGUAAACUCGUCUCUCGUUCCCGAUCAACCCCUUUGAGUCGCCGCAUAGUUGCGAUGGCCUCAUCACUAAGUCCUUUCACGAGAAAAUAUGUCGUGACAAAACCAUGACAGUUGGCGCCCACCAUGGGGAAGUCGCACGAUGGAGUUGAGUUCUCAAAGGGAGCCCUUCUAGGGUUCUGGAGCUACGCAGUUGGUCUUGUUGGAAAUAUUCCGUAGAGGCAAUAAUGAAAUAGUUAUUAUUAUAUUUCCUAUUUCAAGAUAAUCGUUUAUUAUCCAUGCUAUAAUUGUAUUGAAUGGAAACACAAGUGCGUGUGUGGAUACAUAGACAAAACAAUGUCCCUAGUGAGUCUCUAGUUGACUAGCUCGUUGAUCAAACAUGGUUAAGGUUUCCUAGCCAUGGACAAGUAUUGCCAGUUGAUGACGGGAUCACAUCAUUAGGAGAAUUAUAUGAUGUACAAGACCCAAACUAUAACCGUAGCAUGUGAUCGUGUCAUUUUGUUGCUAUUGUUUUUCUGCAUGUCAAGUAUAUGUUCCUAUGACCAUGAGAUCAUCUAACCCACUGACACCGGAGGAAUUCCUUGUAUGUAUCAAACAUCGCAACGUAACUGGGUGAUUAUACAGGUGUUCUACAGGUAUCUCCGAUCGUGUCCGUUGAGUUAGUAUGGAUCGAGACUGGGAUUUGUCACUCCGUAUGACGGAUAGGUAUCUCGGGGCCCACUGGGUAAUAGAACAUCACAAACAUGCCUUGCAAGCAAUGUGACUAAAGAGUUAUCCACGGGAUCUUGUAUUACAUAACGAGUAAAGAGGCUUACCGGUAACGAGAUUGAAAUAGGUAUGGAGAUACCGACGAUCGAAUCUCGGGCAAGUAACAUACCGAAGGACAAAGGGAAUGAUACACGCGAUUAACUGGAUCCUUGACAUAGAGGUUCAACCGAUAAGAUCUUCAUAGAAUAUGUAGUAUCCAAUAUGGGCAUCCAGGUCCCGCUAUGGUAUAUUGAACAGAGAGUGUCUCGGUCAUGUCUACAUAGUUCUCGAACCCGCAGGGUCUGCACACUUAAGGUCCGGUGACGUUUUGGUAUAGUUGAAUUAUUGAUAUUGGUAACCGAAUGUUGUUCGGAGUCCCAGAUGAGAUCCCGGACGUCGCGAAGGUUUUCCGAAUGGUCCGGAGAGGAAGAUUAAUAUAUAGAAAGUAUCCAUUUGGCUUCCGGAAGGUUUCCGGGCAUUACCGGUAAAGUACCGGGAGAGACGAAUAGGUUCCGUAGUUCCACCGGGAGGGGCCACUCACCCGGGAGAGAACCAAAGAGGCCCAGGGUGGCACACCAUCCCCUGGUGGGCUGGUGGCCAGCCCAAGUGGGCCUGGUUCAGACGAAGGAGGAGAAAGGAAAGGAGAGGUGGGGCAAACCGAAAUAGGAAGGGACUCCUCCUCCCAAUCGGAUUGGAGGGUGACUCCUCUUCCUUCCAUGGCGCGCCAGCCAACCCUAGGGAUUUUUCCCUAGGGCGCCACCCCUCCCUCUCUCCUAUAUAUAGUGGAGGUGAGAGAAGCUUUUGGCACCCAAGCCAUAGUACAACCCUCUCUCCCUCCACCACUUCGUGACACCCCGUAGCUAGUUCGGUACGGCACGGCGAAGCCCUGCCAGAGUAACUCCACCACCAUCACCGCCACGUCGUUGUGCUGCUGGAGAGUUCAGCUACCUCUUUGCCUCUCUUGCUGGAUCCACAAGGCAGAGAUCGUCAUCGAGAUGUACGUGUGCUGAAUACAGAGGUGUCGUCCGUUCGGUACUAGAUCGGGACGGACUUCGUGGGACGCUUGCGAUUCGGAUUGCGAAGACGUUCGACUACAUCAACCGCAUUUAUUAACGCUUCCCGCUUAGCGAUCUACAAGGGUAUGUGGAUCCGAUCUCCCCUCUCGUAGAUUAUCAUCACCAUGAUAGGUUUUGCGUGUGCAUACGAAAUUUUUUGUUUCCCAUGCGACGUUCCCCAUCAGUGGUAUAAAAGCUAGGUUCAUGCGUAGAUGAUAUCUUGAGUAGAACACAAAAGAGUUUGUGGGUGUUAAUGUUCAAUUUUCUGCCCUCCUUAGUCUUUUCUUGAUUUAGCGGUAUUGUUGGAUUGAAGCGGCCCGGACCAACAUUCCUCAUGCGCGUACGAGAGACCGGUUUCAUCGACUAACAUUCAACUUGUUGCAUAAAAAUGACUGGCGGGUGUUUGUUUCUUCAACUUUAGUUGAAUCGGAUUUGACCGAGGUGGUCCUUGGAGAAGGUUAAAUAGCAAUUUGCACACCAUCGUUGUGGCUUUGCAUAAGUAAGAUGCGAUCAUACUAGAUACCCAUAGCAGUCAUGUAAAUUUUGCAACAACAAAUUAGAGGACGUCUAACUUAUUUUUGCAGGGUAUGCAUGUGAUGUGAUAUGUCCAAUGACAUGACAUGAUAUAUUGGAUGUAUGAGAUGAUCAUGUUGUAAUAAUUAAAUAUCGACUUGCACAUCGAUGCUACGGCAACCGACACGAGCCAUAGGGUUGUAUUUAAUUAUUUUGUGCUUGGUGAUGCUUUUCUUUAUCGCUAGUAGUAGCUUUAGUAGUAACAUCAUAGUUAGCGCGACAACCUCGAUGGAAGCAUGAUUAUGGAGAUGAUGGUGUGGCGACGGUGACGAUGGAGGUCAUGCCGGUGCUUUGGUGAUGGAGAUCAAGAAGCACAAGUUCAUGGCCAUAUCAUGUCACUUAUGAUUUGCAUGUGAUGUUAAUCCUUCUAUGCACCUUAUUUUGCUUAGGACGACGGUAGCAUUAUAAGGUGAUCCUUCACUAAAAUUUCAAGAUAAAAUUGUUUUCUCCCCGACUGUGCACCGUUGCGAUAGUUCGUCGUUUCGAGACACAAAGUGAUGAUCGGGUGUGAUAGACUCUACGUUCACAUACAACGGGUGCAAAACAGUUGUACCACGCGGAACACUCGGGAUAAACUUGAGGAGCCUAGCAUGUACAGACAUGGCCUCGGAACACAAGAGACCGAAAGGCCGAACAUGAAUCAUAUAGUUGAUAUGAUCAACAUGGAGAUGUUCACCAUUGAAACUAAACUCAACUCACGUGAUGAUCGGACUUGAGUUAGUGAAUUUGGAUAAUGCGACACUCGAAUGACUAGAGGGAUGUCAAUUUGAGUGGGAGUUUAUUAGUAAUAUGAUUAGCUAAACUCAAUUAUCUUAAACAUAGUCUAAGUAAUCUUUGCAAAAAUUUAUGUUGUAGAUCAAUGGCUCGCGCAGUAGAAACCCUUAAUUUUAAUGCGUUCCUAGAGGAAGCUAAGCUGAAAGAUGAUGGAAGAAACACUGUUGACUAUGCCCGUAAUCUGAGGCUUAUCCUCACGGCUGCCCAAAAGCAAUAUGUCAUUGAUGCAGCACUAGGUGAUGCUCAAAGAGAGAUAAAUUGCCAUCCAGGUACUGGCUAUGGACCCGUAGGUCUGUGGUGAUCCACUUACAUAUCAUCAUGAGGGCAUCAAGGUUGAUGAAGAAGCCCUCGGUGAUCGAUCCGACCUCUGGCAGAGUGCCGAGACAGAGCUCUAGAUGGACCCCCGUCAGAACAGAGACUUGUGGCAGCGUAAAAAGUGUUUCCGGACCUCCGUCGAUGUUUUAGGAUAGAUGAGAAUUUAUAGACUAGAGAACAGAGUCGGGAGAGCCGCGAGGGGGCCACAAGCCAUUAGGGCGCCCCCUGACCGCGCCCUGUUGGCUUGUGGGGCCCUCGUGCACCCUCGUGCCUCCUUUCGAUGCUCCACGGUCUUGUUUUAGUCCAGAAAAAAAUCACAAAAAGUUUUAGGUCAAUUGCACUUCACUUGGUACUAAACCGUAAAAAGUGGAAAACACGCAGAAAACAACAACUAGCACUUGGCACUGGGUCAAUAGGUUAGUGCUCAAAGAUAAUAUAAAUUGGUAGAUAAUUAGUUCAUAAAAAAUGUUCUAAAAUGAUAACAUAAUAGCAUGGAACAAUCAAACAUUAUAGAUACGCUGGAGACAUAUCAUUGUACCGCUCGCUAGGGUUUUCUGCAUGGUACUUGUGUGCACUGAUUGUACCGGUGCACGAAGAGGUUGUACUGCUGUAGUGUAAAAACCGUUGUAACAGUUGAAUUUGGGGGCACUAUAAAAGGGGAUGGUUCUUCCACCGACCUUCUUACCUCUUACCUCUCUCUUUCUCUCUCUUUCCUUCAUUAAUGCCCUCCAAGCUUUCUUGCUCGAUCUCUCUUCCACUCAUUAAUGCUAGCAUCAUCGUACAUUUGGAGUCGACACACUUUGCUAGAGGCCGCUACCGGCUAGCCGAGCUGGAUGUGAUCUGACUUGCAACCAAGUGAACGAGAACCUAAGGGGUCGUGCUCUUAAGAGAAGGAUUCUACGAGGUCAUAUACGAGGACACUGGUCGGAUGUGAUCUGAGCUGGACUUAGAUCAUGACCAAGUAGACUUUAGGCUUUAGGAUCCAUGUGAGGCCCAAAAUUGAGACCGCGACGGAUGCCUAUAUAUAAUGGGGGUACCACACACAUAUUCGGUCGAUUGCUUCAGCAUCGUCAUUAGGGCGUUGCAUGUGUUAGAACCACCCACCUCCACUCGCCGCCGGUUGUGUGAUCGGACCUAGCAGUCCGCCACAUGACGUUCCUCCUGCACGUGCGAAUACCGUUAGAGGUGGUGCAGUUGCGCAGCUCCAACGAAGUUGUCCACGGGAUUCAGCGGACGACUGUUUGAGAGACCGGACGAGGAGGGGGCAACUCCUGGGACGCGCUAGCACCACUAUUCGUCCACUACAUUGCGCUCUAGUGGUAACAAUCUGUGAUUCCUCUCCUUAGCAUGUUCCCGGUUAUACAGUGCAUAGGAAUUUUUUUUAUAUUCCAGCCGAUGCACCUAGCGUAGCCCAACACUAUCCCUCCGUCCCUCCCUUCCUUCCUCUCUCUCUCUCUCUCCCUCUCUCUCUCUCAAACACUUAAUACAUGCAUACUUACAUUAGUUUGAUCAUGUUCAUGUGAUUUAAGGUUAAUUGAAUUUGUGGCACUAUCAUAUGAACAAUGAUGGUGCCAAAUCCAUGGCCUAAAUAAGUUGCAUCCAAAUGUACACGGAAAAUAGUUAGAUAAAAAGUAUGAACACAUCGUAGAACAUAUUACAUCGAGAAUCGAUUAUGGUUCUAUACAUAAAAGAACAAAAAUCUCGUGGUGCAAACUAAACAUACGUUUAUAUUAAUUAAAUGUAUGCACAUUUCGUUCCUGCAAAAGAAAUUUGUCCUAUUCGGAAGAAAAGAAAACAAGUUUUGAAAAAUCAUGUAGCAAUUACUAGAAAGAUUACCAGAGUUGAGAUACACAACUAUGGACGUAGCCAUUUGAGAUUAUCCUGUCACUGUCCACGGACCCGCCCGCAGAUGUAUAUAUGUAGUGCUCCAUUUGGCAAUUGGAGUUGCAGAUGCUCUAACUUCCUUCUUUUUUGUGAACCAUGUGAUGAACAAGCUCUCUCGAAACAGGCUUUCGCCCCGCUUUAUAGAUAAAGCACAACGGCCAGAAUCCAACCCACAUGUUCGAACACAAAAAAUAAAAAAGAGAGUCAGGUGGGGCAACAACACAGUCCAGCCCAAAAUAAAGAGAAGAAACAAAAAAUUCCCACACAGGGGCAAGCUAGGCAGCAAGCAAGGGAGAGGAGAGCCGUCGGGCGGCCGCCAUCAACGCGUCCAGGUAGAGCUGAAGUCGGCCUCGAUCCCGGGUCCUAACGAGCGGAUGCCAAUGCUGCAAGAAGGCAAGGAAUUUGAAGAACGAGUCAGAAGCACGCCGCGGAAACACCUUCUCAAUCAUCAUUUUAUUGUGAGUAGUCUAGAGGGUCCACAUCAUAGCCGCGAAGACCAACCAAAACAGUCGGCGUUUAUGACCGACCUGGGUGGCCCGCACCUGUAGAAAAUCUGCAAGGUCAGAGGCCUCCCACUCUGGUCCCAGAGCCUCGCGUACAAAGCAUCAUAGUGCAUGUGCCGCAACGCAUGAGAACAGAAUGUGAGAGCCAUUCUCCGGGACAUGGCACAGGGGACAUAUGCCGUUACCCGGACCAUGGCGUUUCAGCACCUCGGUCCCUGAAGGUAAACGGUCUCGGAGAAGCUGCCAAACAAAAAUCUUGAUCUUCAAGGGCAGCGGGGCCUUCUAGAGUGGGGAUAACCACGGGAGGACCAGCAUUCUGCACAGGGCCAGGUAUGCCGAACUAACAGAGAAUUCUCCCGAGGGAGAGAGGCUCCAAGAGAUACUAUCACUGACCGCCGAGGUCGAGAGGGGAAUCACUGCCAAGAGUAACUCCCAGUCCAGGACCUCAACAGGGCCAAGGGGUCGGCAGAAUGCAACAUGCCAUCCGUCUUCCAGAGCAGCAGCAGAAACCAGGACAGCAGGGUCGGCGCAGAUAGCAAAGAGCCUCGGGAAACGGAAUCGUAAAAGCUCUCCUUCCAACCAGGGAUCUAACCAAAACUGGGUCCCAGAUCCAUCGCCCACCGAGAUCCCCAAACUCAACCUAAUCUCGUGCUUAAUGCUCUGGAUAGACUUCCAGAACUGCGAACCAUUCGCGAGAGAGCAUGCCAAGAGUGGUCUGCCUCGAAGGUAUUUGGCCUUAAUCAAUUGAAGCCACAGACCCCCAUCUCCGUGCAGAAUCCGCCAAACCCAACGGAGCAUCAGGGCCACGUUCAUGAGGCGGGACGCAGGAAUGCCUAGGCCCCCUCAGUCUUUUGGCAAGCAGAUGUCUGCCCAUUUCACCAUGUGAUACUUGGGCCUACCAUUCCCUGCCUGCCAAAAGAAUCUAGCCAGUUCCUUGUCAAAGGCGUUGUGCACACCUUCGGGCAGGAUAUACAACCCCAUCAUAUACAUGGGGAGGCUAGCGAGGUUAGAGCUAAUGAGGAUGGAUUUGCUGCCUUUAGAAGUGAACCUGCCGCACCAGGGUUCCACACGGGAUGCUACUCAUCCCACAAGCGGAUCGAACCCGCUAACCAGAAUCCUGGACUCCGCCAGGGGCAUUCCCAAGUACGAGAUAGGGAAAGAAGCCAGCUUGAAGUUAAGGUUGUCUGAAUCCUGUGAUGCUCAGCCUCAGAGUAGCCGAGGACCACCACCUCACUCUUAUCAAAGUUAAUCUUAAGUCCAGACAUUUCCUCGAAGCAGAGCAAAAGGAACUUAAGAUUGGCAAUGUCCGAGUCCGAGCCUGAGACCAUGAUCAUGGUGUCGUCUGCAUAUUGGAGGUGUGACACCCCACCCCCCGGGAUGAGGUGACCAACCACCCCCUGGAUAUGCCCGGCUAAUCUCGCCUUAUCCAGGAUGCCGGCAAGGGUGUCCACGGCGAGAUUAAACAGCAGGGGGGAGAUAGGGUCCCCUUGCUUUACCCCCCUGGAAGCCCAAAAAAAGGGGCCUAGUUCACCAUUGAUAUUGAUGGCGGUGCUACCAGAUCGAACCAGCUGCAUAAUCCAGGUGCACCACCUCUCGUCAAAUCCGCGCCGCUGCAACACUAACCUCAAGAAGGACCAACCAAGACGGUCAUACGCCUUAUGGAAGUCCAAUUUGAGAAUGACCCCCUUCAAUCCCUUGGACGCCACCUCAUGGACAAUCUCGUGAAGGGCAAGAAUUCCGUCAUGAAUCUUCCUACCCUUCAGGAAUGCGGACUGAAGGGGGUGCGCAAUCCGUUCGGCCACAGGGGACAGACGAGUGGCGCAGACUUUAGCAAAAAUACGCGCCACCAUGUUAAUCACCGUAAUAGGCCUAAAUUGCCGAAUCUCUGCAGCCCCAAGUAGUUUGGGGAUGAGGGCAAUGACUCCAUAGUUAAUCCUGCCCAUGUCCAGAGUGCCUAUAUAGAAUUCAUGGAACAUGGGCAUGAUAACUGGGUGCACGGUCUCCCAGAAUUGCUGGAAAAAACCACCGGGAGGCCGUCUGGCCCCGGGGUCGAGCACACCUUCAUAGAAGCGAUUGUCUGGCCAACUUCCUCCGAGGAAAAUGGGAGAGUGAGUUCCGCAUUCUCCACGUCGGACACCUGAUCAGCUAGCGGCCAGAAGUCCUCACAGAGAGAGGAGCCUCCCCGCAGAUCGGCCGAGAAUAACUCCUUAUAGAAGGAGUAAAUAUGGGAUGAGAUGUCUUCCGGCUUUCCAGAACAGCAUCCCCAUCCCGGAGGAAAGGGAUGACACAUUUCCGCCUUCGGCCGUUGGCGAUGGCCUGAAAGUACGCGGUGUUUGCGUCCCCCUUGAGGAGCCAGUUCUGGCCACCUCGACGUUGCCAGAACAGUUCCUCGGAGCUGAAGAUGCCCAUGAGCUCAGCGUCGAGGGAUUAUGUCUGGAUCCAGUCAUCCGGGGACAGACCUGUACCGUCCGCCAAGUCAUCUAGGGUCUUAAUCUGGCCUAGCAAGGCCCCUUUACGGGCCCGGAGAUCAGCGCCCAAGUUAGCACCCCAGCCCUUCAUGGCCUGGCGCGCCAUCUUGGCACAGUGAUGCCAAAUGUCCACCGCACAAUAGACACGCGGCGGGGAGGCGGCAGCCCAAUGCCACUGGUCGCGGACCAACUCGCGGAAACCAGGCUGAUCCAACCAAAAAGUCUCAAAGCGAAAGCGCCGUGAUCUAGGGGGGAGCCUUCCCCCGACGAGAAGAGCAGGGGCGUAUGGUCUGAGCCAAUCUGCGUGAUGGCCCUAAGCCCGCACAGGAGGAACAUCACUUCCCACUGAGGCGACACAAAGACCCGGUCUAGAACACUCCGGACGGGGUCCGCCUGCUUGUUCCACCACGUGAACCUGGCCCCUACGCGAGCUAUCUCACGUAGCGCCAAGUCUGCAAUGCAGUCAUUAAAAAGACGCAUCUGGGGUCGAUCUACAUUCUGAGAGCUUUUAUCAGAAGCCCACCUAAUAAAUUAAAAAUCACCAGCCACCACUACAGGGGUGGUGCACCUAUCCACCUUAUUCUUUAGCUCGGCGAGGAAUUCUGCGGAGCGGGCAUGGUCUGCCGGACCAUAGACAAUAAUCACCUCCCAGCUGAGGUGGGUACGUCGGUCGGUGAUGGCCAUGCUCACAAUGAACUCCCCCCGGUCCAUGUCCUCCACCGAGAACGCCUCCUCCCGAACACCAAGCAGGAUUCCCCCAGAGUGGCCCGAUGCAGGGAGCCACUGCCAGGAGAACUGGUGGCGGGAGAGCCUCUGAAGCUCGAGCAUGCUAAAGUCCUACCGAAUCGUUUCUUGCAGCCCUACUAUGUCAAUCUCUUCUUGACGCAAAUACUCAACAAGUUGCCGCCGCCGGCCAGGGAGGCCGAAGCCCCUAAUGUUCCAACAUAGGAGCUUCAUUUAACAAUCUCGCCUGGAUUUCUAGGCCCCGCAAGCGGGGCCGAACUAGCCCGCCCGUCAACCUCGAGGCGGGGGAGCGCCUUAGAUGGACGACCCCGGUGUCCCCGAGAAGAGGGGACAUCGGAGGUCGCCGGGCCAGAGGAGGGAGCUCCGGGGCCUGACACUCGCUCCUCUCCACGUGUCUCAGUGGGGUUGAGACGGGUAGGCGGCCGCCCCCUGGGCUUCCGGACAGAGGGAAGCCCACCUAUGGGCGGCACAGGACCAACUGCAACCGCUGCCGGAGGUGCGCCACCAGCCCUGGUCUCUCUAUGACCAGGACCGGCGUGCACCGGGGGAGAGGGGGAGUUGGAGCGCGCGGCGAGACAGCGCGCUUCCGCUAACACCCCCUCAAGCCUCUCUUUCGCACAGAGGGCGGAGAUAUGCUCAAGAGGGGGACCUUUCUCCCCCCGAAACACAAUACUACUGUUCGCAGCCACAACAGCCAAAAGGGGCACCAAAUCGCUAGAGAGAACAGAAAACCAAGAACCAGAGCCAGAAGGGGGAGGAGAGGAGGCGUACCUGGGAACAGAUCGCGGGCCGCAGCACGCCGGGCCGCCAGCUCAGGCAUCGUCGGGACGCGGCCGUCCUGAAGGGUCCGGGACUGGCUGAUCCGAGCGCUCUGACGUGCCGACACGAUGGGGGAAGUGCCCUCCCGAGGCCGAGAGCGGGGCACAGGAGGGUACUCGGGCGCCCAACCAGGGUUGACGACCACCGGAGGGCGCGAAUCCGGGGACCCCAAGGUUGGGGAAGGGGGGAACUCGGAGAGCACGAGUAGCAAACCACCCCUGGCGAGCGCGGGGACGAAGCAGGGCAGACCUCCAUACCCACACUCACCUCCUCCUCAGCAGCGACCACCGGGAUAGGGGAAGCAGGGAGAGUGAUCUCCAUGCCUACCACCACCACCGGCGCCAAAGUACCCACCGUGGAGCCUCCUGCGAGCCCCGACUGGCCAACACCCGAGGGGGCGGGGGUGCGCCGACCGCCAGAUGGCUCGGGCGGAGCCCCGACCGUAUCAUCGUCCCCCUCAGAAGAAGGCCCCUCCUCCGACGAGCCCCCCUCCUUGUCAAGACCCCCGUCGGCAGGCUCCAGCCCAGGCGGGACCGGAUCUAGCUGAGCCGCUGAAGCCGGGGACUCGAGCUCGAAGGUCAGACGCCUGCCCUUGGACCCAAAGUAGAAGACCAAAGACAACCCGUCAAUCUCAGCAGGAGCCGGGCAGAGAAUCUCAAUGCGGGCAGGGCCAUCAUCCUCGAAAGAUGCCAGGUCGGCGGUGAUCAGUUUGCCCAUGGGUUUAGAGAUGGCUUUCAGAAUAUGACUGAGCUUGCCACCCCGCGGAGCCGCACUGCCCCCCCUUGGGAGGCCAUAGACGAGGACCCAAACCUUCUCCAAGGGAGGGACGGGGUCAGGCUCUGACAUGGCCGCCUGGACGCUGAUCGGGAGCUGGUUGAGGGGACACCGGAUAGGACCAUGCGAGCAGACCCGGAGUAGCUCGGCCGAGGGGAAGGGGACCGAGAAGACCAGGGGAGCCGUCUCAGUCACCUCCCAUGCGAACUCAGAGCCGCGAAAGUCGCCAAUGUAGGCCGCAAGCUCAUCCUGGAUGAGGUCAGACGAGAUCACCAGGCCAUCCGGGAUAGGCUGCUCGGGCUCCAAGGUGACCGUCGCUAGGUGAGGACGAGCAGCUACCUCCUCAAUCUCCGCAUCCACGAAGUAGAAGCUUCCCCGCUCAGUGCCAUACCCAAGAUAGGCAAGAAUCGUGGGGCACCGUGGGGGAGCCUCACACUCCGAGCGGUAGUGCCCGGUGCACCCGCAGUUGAUGCACAUCGUGUCCUCGCGGGAGCGCUGGCGGGUAGCACGAGCAGGGGGUCUAGAGCCUCAUGCUCAGGAGCCCCCUGAGCUCCUGGCGACGUCAGGCCGCCAGCACCGCCAACAGCCUUCUUCUUCUUCGACUUCAUCUUCUUCUUAACCGGGGUCGGGCGGGAAGCGGAGCAGCAGGCAGGGCAUCUGGGGACACGUGCCUAGAAGGCCCGUCGUCCCGGCACCAGUCCGCACCCGUCGCCCGAGAGGAGCGCCAGUCAGCCCGACGUCCAUCAUCACCGCGCCGCAUUGGCGGCCCGCCCCACCGCUCCCCCGGGCGGUGGUCCUGGCGAUCACGGGGCGGCCCGCCCCACCGCUCCCCAGGAAGGCGCCGCGGGGCGGUGAGCGAGGUCCCGAGCCGGGGGGUAGCGGGGCGCUGGCUCCUCACACGGCUGAGAUGCCGGAGUGGGGCGAGCAACCAACUCUGCACACAGAGUCGCUUCCCGGUCCAGGUCGGCCGCGCGGGCGGCCUCCAGGCGGCGACGGUCCCCCGGCGAACCCGGCAACGGCAGGCGGGGAUCCCUCUCCGGAUCACGAGGGGGAGGCGGACGGCGAAGGGAGGUCCCGGAGUAGUACUCCGGGGACUUCCCCGGCCGGGCAGACCCACCGCGCCCGGAACGGGACGAGGCAGCACCCCCUUCCAUGGCACGGUCACGGGCGGCGGGCAGCGCCUUCAACACCGCGCGAGCCUGGUCACGAGAGGUUGGCGUAGGGAGGAGCCCCUGCCCAGCCGGGAGAGGCCGCUUCGGUCGGGCCUGGCCGUUCCCGGCGUGGCGUGUCAUGAGCACGUCCCGGUAGGAGCGCCGUGGGGAGGGGAUGGGGAGCAGGUCCGGGCGCCGGGCAGCAGACGAGGGCGCGUCGCCGGCAGUGCAGGCGAGGACGGACGAGGUGGAGGGAGCUCUAUGGCUGACGGGACGGGGCGAGCGGGGCCUGGGGAACGGCCGGCGGGACGGGGCGAGCAGGGCCUGGGGAACGGCGGGGACGUCCGCGCCCGACGGGAGAGAGCGAGAGGAAAGGGAGCGGGAGCCCGACCGGAGAGAGCGAGAGAAACGGGAGCGGGACGGGGCGAGGCUGCGAGGUGGCGGUGGCGCACGCUCGGCAGGGUAAACCCUAUCCCCGAGCCGGUCCUCCCGACGCAGGCCUGGGCCGGGACGCGAGCAUGGGGGAGGCCCAGGUGGGCAUCGGCCCACUGCCGGUUAACCUUCUCCAGGACUCGGGAGACGCGGCGGGAGGCCCAGGCCAUCUCGCUAGCUGAGAUGGGCCCAGGCCCCGUUCGCAGCGGCCCAUGGGGAGAGCCGGCCCAUCCGUCCGCCAGCCGGCCAGGGGAGUUAGGGCAUGGGGGAGGGGACUGACGAGGCACUCGGGCACCUCCCGCUGCCGCCGGCACCGCCGCCGCCGCCACAGGAGGCAGGGCACCAGCGCCUGGUCGGGGCUCGCGGGGGCCCUCUCCGGCGACCGCCAUGGGGGACAACCCAGGCAGCAAACCGGCUCGGGCCAAGGAGGGGAGAGGGGGAACCACAGGGGGACAGUGCACCGGCGACCGCCGCCCGACCUCCUUCCCCGGCCGCCGGCGGGCAGGGCGCGCCGCAGCCAGGAACGAGCCGAGCAGCGGCGGUGCCAGGGACACCGGCAGCUCCAACCGGUCAUCACCAUCCGAAGAGGCCUCCAUGUCAUCGGGGUCGGGAUCGUCCGUCCAGUCCGCCCAACGUCGCGGCGACCGUUGGAAGCAGAGGGAGGGCGCCCCCGGCGGGGGAAGCGGGGGCAUCGCGCUCACGCAGCACGCCGGCCGACCGCCGUCAGCGGGCACCGCGCAGCUUCAGGUCUCGGCCCGCCGGAGAGGAGCCGCCCAUCGCUUCUUCUCUUCAGGAAUCUAGUCGCCGGCCCACAAGUGGGGUGAUGAACAAGCUAAUGCGAUUUAAAGUAAUCAUACCUCGUCCUAAGAAAUUAAAAGUGAAUUCAUACUGUGCAGCUAGAAAAAGAAUCAUAAAAGUAUACAAGCGCAUGUGAAAAGAAAAAGAUGAACAACUUGCCACUUCAUAUAGGUGAUCUAAUUAACUAAUUUAGGGUUCGAAUAACUUUGUUUCCCCACAAUCAUGACAAAGUGAACCUUUUGUUGAAAGCCGGAAUUCUGCAAUAAAGCUGCAAUGGUAGAUCUAUUUUUAUCAGGGAAUCUACCAUGCUGAGCUGCUGCACACAAGGCGUUCUCACUCACGAGUCGCAAAAAAGAGUUGGUGAGUUAUUAAAAAAGAAGACAAAGAGGACGAGUGAGUUGCACCAAAAUUAAAUACUUCCUUCAUUUCAAAAUAAAUGUCUCAAUUUUAUACUACCUCUAGUAUAAGAGCAUGGUUAAUAGUAUAGUCAACUGCUGGCUAUAAGCUAUCUUAUAGCCUAUCUUAUAGCUAGCUUGUACAAUAGUUAGCUAUAAAAGAGUACUACUUUUAUUCUAUAUGGCCCACCUUUCAUUUUCACAAAGCACCUACGAGCACGUGCUAGAGCUGGCUCUUUACGAAGAGCCCGCUUCCCUUCUCACUCCUAUUCUCUCUCAUCCAACUCAGCAAAAAUACAGUAUUUUAAUCCUUACAGCCUGCUGACUGUACCUUAUUGUACUUGCUCUAAAGUUGUACUCCCUCCGUUCCAAAAUAUAAGACCUUUUAGAGAUUUAUUAGAAGACUACAUACGAAGCAAAAUGAGUGAAUCUAUACUCUAAAAUAUGUCUAUGUACAUCCGUAUGUAGUUCAUAGUGCAAUCUUUAAAAUGUCUUAUAUUUAGGAACGGAGGGAGUAUUAAGUUUGAGGCGGUUAUAUUGAGACGGAGAGAGUACUAGAUAUACGUAAUCUGAAAUAGUGGAGUACCAAAAUUAUAGGCCUCUAUGAUUAGGAGGAUUUUCAUAAAACAUUUGGAAAGUUGUGAUACUUGAGAAUUUUUCCUUUAUCGCUUAUCUGAUUCGUAGAUUGACUCCUAUAGGAUUUUCUCCUAUGGAUUCCCUUUGACUGCACAUUUCAUGAAAAAAAACAUUAGUUUGCCAUGAUAAUUUUUCACCAGGAUGCACAAAAAAUGAACUAGUUCUGAAAGGUUUAUUGGCUUCAUUUGGAUUUACUUAGAAUCAGCUCAUAUUAGCAAUAAUUAAAGAUGGCCGAACGAUGGCGCCGUCUCCCUCCCGACCCGGGGCCGCAUGCAGCCCCUCUCCCUCUGCCCCCCUCCUCCUGUCGGUGCCCUCGGAUCUGGUCCGGGUGGUGUUGGCGGUGGCGGGAUCUCCAUUACCUGUGCGCGGACGUCCUUCCCGAGGCAGGGGAUCGACGGUGGUGCGGCUCGGCCUGCUGUGGUCCGACGACCUAGAGGUGGUGGCCGGCAGCCGACGUGGUGGUGGCGCUGCUCCUUGGCGGCGGGGUGGCCUAGCGGCACGGGGUGGCCGGCUGCACGACCCCGGGCCAGAUCAGGGCCCAUAAGGCCUCAUCUAGGUCCUAGGGGACUGGCUCUGGCAUGGACUUGCUGCCUCCUGUACAGGGAUGAGGAGGGGCGGGUUGAAAGGGGGGCCGCGAUGCCGACGGUGUGCUUUCUGCAGCGCGAUGGCAGGAGCUUUAUGGGUAUUUGUGGGGCCAUGAGCCUGGUUUGCUCCUGCCGAUGUGUCCGGUCGGUUACUGUCGUUGACGAUGGAAGUCGGACCCUCCCGCAGGCCGCCGGUGUUGCUUCCCCUAGUCCCGACUCUUCUUCUUCGAUGUGCAGGCCUCACUUCUCGGUGUCCUGGUGAGACAGUGUGGGUCGCUUCAAGAUUGUGCUUGCGCAGGGCGGUGGGUGGUAUGGUGGAGUCCUCCGGAACGCCCGUGGUGAUGCGUGGGGAUCGGGACGUACAAAUCCUUGUCGGCCUGUUCGACACCGACACGGUGACGCCUGAGGGUGUCGACGGACCUUCCUGGAGGGUGUCGGGUGCUACCCUUUCUUUGUCCUCGUUGUGUAUCGGGGGAAACCCUUGGCAGCAGCGCAGUCAUCGUCGUGUCCCUUCUUGGAGGUGUUGAUUGGUAUCGGCGCUUCGAAGGCUAGGAUCUUGGUGGAAGAUCUUCGAUGGGCGCAACGAUCGCGGGGCCUCUUCAUUUUUGUCGAUCCAUCAUUGUUGGCAUCUAUUCCUUUUGCAUUUUCUUUUUCCCUUCCUUUUGGACGUGAUUGUGAUGUCUCCGUCCCAGCACUUAUUGAUGGAUAUAUCGGGCAUUUGCUAUAUUAAUAUAGCGAGGCGAACGCGUGCUUCGAAGAAAGAUGGACGAACUUACCAACCAUAUUACUUGUGCUUAUUUAUUUUCUUCUGUUACAACGCACAAACAUAUUUGCUAUUUGAACUAAAUCACAUUGCCAAUUGCUCGUCUAUCAUGUCAAAUCAGAACCACGCAUCUAACCCUCCCAAGAUGUAGAUCGAUCGGUUUUACUCGGCAUUCAUUAUGGAUCGGAGGGAGUACUCCUAGAUCAUAUUCAAAAUUGCUCCACGCCACAAAUAAAACUGCACGGUACAUAUGGUAAAUCUGGGAAAGUGAUUUGCGUGGUAUGUGUGCCAUAAUCAACUGAAUUAUUGGACUAACCGCAUCAAGAUCGGAUCACAUCGAUCCUAUCCCCGUCGACGAGACUGUCCUCGAAUCAAAAUAUUUCUCCAAUGGACGCUCGUGUCCCACGCUCUGAAAGCGACGCCUUUUGUUUUGUCAGUUAAUUUUCACGUCAAGCUCACACCCACGCACGCACCGUGUAGGAUCCACGGCUCGACGCACCUCCCCUUCCCUCCCCUUCUCCCUAUUUAACGAGCUAGCCACCCCCACGCUUUUUGCACCUCAGCAAGCACCAACACACACACACACACAAGAAAUGGCGAUGGCUAGGACGACGACGCUCCUCCUCGUCGCCGCAGCUCUCCUCGCGGCCUCAUGCAGCGCAUGGGAGGUCAACAUCCGCAUGCCGACGUCGGCGGCGGACGUGGACGAGGCGGUGGUGGCGCCGCUGAUCCACGCGCUGCGGCCGCUGCUGGGCUCCGGCAAGCACGCCGGAGUGGCGUGCGACAGCUGGGUGCUGGGGGUGGAGGCGCACAACGUGCGGGACUGGAAGACGGUGCCCGCGAGCUGCGAGGGCUACGUCGGGCACUACAUGCUCGGCAGCCAUUUCCGCCGCGACUCCAAGGUCGUCAUCGACCAGGCCCUCGCCUACGUCGACUCCCUCAAGCUCGCCGGCAACGGCAAGGAGGUCUGGGUCUUCGACAUCGACGAGACCACCCUCUCCAACCUCCCCUACUACGCCAAGCACGGCUUCGGGUACGUACUUACACUCUUGUAUACAUUACAUAGACACUACUGAUUCUACGUGUAGUGCAUGCAUUAGACUUGCUAUUUACUGCAGGUACAUCCGACCGAGCAGGGACUUGCACUCAUCUUUUCACUAAGAUGAAGUGUAAAUAAUCUGACUAGAUAUAUAUUGUAAAAAAUCAACUCACUAGCUAGCUAAAAAAUACCAGCGAGAUCUGUAAUGAAUGAAAAUUGGAAAGCACAUAAGGAUAGAAAUAUUGGAAAUAAAAAGGAAUAUAAUCACUAAGUAGAAAAGUACUUUAAUCACAAGUGUUGGACACUUGGACAUCAUCAUUGCCAGUAGGACUCGGGCCAUAUGUCCCUAGUAUGAAUGGCCAACAAAACAAGAAGGAAACAUACUAUAUUUUGAGAUAGAGAUGUGAUGUUGAUGGGCAUGCGAAUGUGGUGGCCGGGUAGGACCGUAUAUGUUGUCCACUUGGCUACUUUAUGGAAAUGUUCUAAUUAUGUUAUGCUAGUCAACUCAUACUUUCUAAUUAUGUCAUACUUUUGUACACAUACACACUAUUGUAGUGCAUUAUACUCCCUCUCUAUCUAAAUACUUAGAGUUCGAAAGAACUAGGUGCAUUUCAGCAGGGGCUUGCACUGAUCUAUUCGUUCAGAUAAAAUAAAUAUCUUACUAGACCUCGUUCAAAUGAACUCACUAGCUAGAAAGCACUAGUAUCAUAAGAUUUCUAAUGAAUGAAAGUGGGAAAACAAAUGAGACUAGAAGUGGAAACAAGGAAUAUACUCACUAGCUAGAAAAGUAUUAAUUGGACGUGUUGGACACACUUAGGCAGCAUCAUUGCUGGUUACCUCAAAUCAGUCACAGAGACGGCCAUCAGGACCAUAAAUAUGUCCCGCCUAUGAAUGGUCAACAAAACAAGAAGGAAACAUAGUACUAUAGUUUGAGAAUAUGGUGGCCGGGGUAGGACCGUAUAUGUUCUCCACUUGGCUACUUUAUGGAAACGUUUAUUUCCAGCUGUCCUUAUCAGCCGAUACGUUCUAAUUAUGUUAUGCUAAUCGAUUGAUAUUUUCUGAUUAUGUUAUGCUAAACUUAGUUCAGAUGGAUAGUACUCCGAUACGUUUUCAUUAUUUUAUGCUAAUCUGAGUUUAGAUGGAUAUAAUUACUUAUUUUAGAAGAUGUGAGAGGUCAGAACAUCUUGUGCAUAGUUAGUAGUUACAUGCUACUCCCUCCGUUCCUAAAUACAAAUCUUUUAAAAGAUUUCACUAGUGGUCUACAUAUGAAGCAAAAUGAAUGAAUUUAUACUAUAAAAUAUGUUUAUAUACAUUCAUAUGUAUUACUCUAACCUCUAAAAAGAUUUAUAUUUAAGAAUGGAUGGAGUACAACUCUAUUCCUCUUUUCUCAAAUAGUUGAACACUAUUCCUCUUAGUUAAGAAGAUUCUCUUGAACCAAGAUGGAAACUAACUUGAAAUGUAGUAGAAGUCUAGGUGAUAUCUAGCCAACAUGAUGAUACCAGUUUAGUUCAAAACAUGAUUAACUAGCUCCGGAUAGCUUGCUUGUGUAUAUUUUGAAUGUGAUGAGGGAGCUAGUUCGUUGUGAUUUAAAAUAAACUGUACCUUGCCGUAAGAACUUUAAAGUGGAUCUACACUGGGCGGCUGGAAAAAGAUACAUAAAAGUAUAUAUAUGCGCAUCAAGGAAAAAAGAAAGAUCAAAAGCUUAUAACAGCAUGUCUAACUAAUCGAGCGGUUCAAAUAACUUUGUUUCAUCACAAUCAUGACAAAAUUAACCUUUUUUGUUGAAAGUCGGAACUCUGCAAUAAGGUUGCAAUGGUAGACCUAUUUUACCAAAGGAAUCAACAAAGCUGAGCUGCUGCGUACAAAGCUGUGCACGAUGAGAUUAAAUACUACAACUGCGUUUUCGGUCCAACAAAACAGUAGCGUGAUGAUGCCGGAGUGAACCUCGCUAUGUCACAUUCAUUGAUUUACUCCACUUGACCAACUUAAUUUACGACGUCCACAACUACGUACUGCUCAUGCACGUGCGUUACGUACAGAUACAGAGCAUCAUUGCGUUUACGUAUUGCCCAUCCCCUUGGCCAUUUGGCCACUUGGGCCAUAAUCUAGGUUGCCUAUGUUCCUUGGAUAUGCAUAAUUACUACUACUUCUUAGUAGCUGAUAUGAUUGAAUCUGCCAUUAAUCUAUCCUCGUAUACAUGUGCGUGCAGGGCUACACCGUUCAACGCGACCAGCUUCAACGCAUACGUGCUACAGGGGAGCGCGCCAGCCCUGCCGGAGACGAAGCGGCUGUACAACAAGCUGCGCUCGAUCGGCGUCAAGCCGGUGUUCCUCACCGGCCGGACUGAGGACCAGAGGGCCAUCACCGUCACCAACCUCCGCCGCCAGGGGAUCUCUGGGUGGAUGAACCUCUUGCUGAAGCAACCCGGGUUCAAGGGCUCUGCGGUGACCUACAAGUCCGGCGAGAGGCAGAAGCUGCAGGACGCCGGGUAUGUCAUCGUCGGUAACAUCGGCGACCAGUGGAGCGACAUCCUCGGCGCGCCAGAGGGUGCCCGCACCUUCAAGCUGCCCGACCCCAUGUACUACAUCGGCUAGGCCGCCUCUGGCUCGGCCGGGCAUGCUGCCAUUGAUUUCUCGAAUAAGCUCCAUGCUCUUAGUUAUAUGCAUGUUUCGUCAGAUAAUCAAUCCCCAAUUGUUGCUUGGUUCAUUUCCAUUGUUGAGAGCUUGAGAUCAAUUGCUACUAUGAAUUAGACGUGUAAGUGGAGAUGUUGCAUGCUGCUUAAUCAAUGGAUCUUUGUUAUGUUGUUUUUCUUUUUGCUCUAUUACAAGGAAUCCAUGGGCAUUAUUACUAUUUGAUAUCUUGUUCUUAAGUCUUAACUUGGAACUUAUAUUGCUGGUGGUAGAUUUUUCUGUACUAAAUUCUGCAUAUGGUGUAUUAAAUAUCAGGGACACAUAAUAUUGUCACACAUAUGGAAUCACUACUGCUAAAAUGACCAGUUCCUGAACCCAUCUGCUAUUGGGCCCAUUUUGGCCCGUCGGAGGAAGGGAUCAUCGUCGGUGGACAGGCAAAGAAGUGCUCGCAUAGACUCCUUCAAAAAAUGUGCCCUCAUAGACGACGGGUAUUUUCCACUGAUGUUGCGCAACUGGUGAUUGCAAUGUAGUUUGUGUCUUGCAUGUUGUAUGCAUAUGUAAUGAAUGUAACAUCUAAUAGUUAAUUAUGCAAGACAAAUAAAGCCCACCCUUUUCAGUAAGUUUAGAGCUAGAUUUGAGUUUGUCUUGGUCUCAUUUUUCUAAACAUACAAUCCUGGAGACAACUCGGUGAAGAAAUGAUGGUCCAAAUAGGUGUCUAACACGAAUCGUCAUCAAAGAAACCCUAUGGGAACCCACACUAUUCUAGUUACUUGGAUGAUUUGUAAUGAAAGAAAUAUAUGUGUCUUCCAAGUUAUUUUGACCAUGCCAAACAACAUCCCUGCUAAGAUAAAAAACGAUGUGGAGACUUGGAUAAAGGCCGGGCGAAGGAUCUGGGAAACAUUAUGCCAGGAGAGUAGUUCCGUUCUAUUAAUUUAUCCUUGGAUGACGUUUCGCGGAGAGAGGGGAGAGGGCGACCUGGGCGAUCUGGGAGCGUCGGGGGCCGCCGUGGGCAUCGUCGGAGAGGGGGAACAUCGGUACUCCUCCUCCGAUCUCGCAUCCCAGGCGCGGCGCCGGAGCCCGAUCUCGGCGGUGGAGGGACCUACUGUCCGUGUCCGAUGGAGAGUUGCGUACUCAGAGGCUGGUUAUUCGGAUCUGCGUGAGGGGCAGAUUGUUUUUCAUUCGGUUUCUCGUUGGAUGACACUACGGGAUGACGACGACGACAUCCUCGCCGGCUGCCAUCUCCAAGAGGAAGAUCUCAUCUGCGAAGGUGCGCAUUUCAUGGUGGAUAUCUUUUCUGUUACUUGUAUUUCUCCUUUCCUGCAGGUGAAUUCACAAGAACGGAUGCAGCCUGAUUUGGUGGACAUAUCUGACGAUGAUAAGAUCGCCUCACCAAGACUUCUCCCUCGAGUUGGGGGGAGGUUUUGGGUACUGGCUAAAGAUGAAGACGACGAGAACCACGACAUUGCCGUAGCACAGGAGGUCUCUGCUCCUUUCUGCGACCAGGUUUUCCAUCCGGCCACGAGGGAUUUUAUUCAUGCAUUGCCUGAUUCGAAGGUCGUUAAGGUAGUUCAACGCAAGGAGCGAUUGGCGAUUAAACCUUGGAGCGGUCCUCUGCCUAAGGUUCAUCUCGAACCAUUGCGGAUCUCGGACAUCAUACCUUGAGAGGCUUGGACUACUGUUUUGCCUAAGAGGAAGAACAAGGGUAAGAGCCGUAAAUUGCAGACGUCAGUCCCUGACAAGGUGCUGUCGUCCCGUGAUUCUCGCGAAUUACGUUUGAACGAGCCGAUGGCUGUUGUCGGGCCGUUGGGACCGGCGCUCGAGUUGGGCUUAAAAGAAACUGGGUAUAUGGCCCAGAUAGACUCCAAUCUAGCAAAACCUGCAAGUCCUACACCUACGGCUGCCCAGAUUUGCCUUGACGAGAAUCAUCAGGACUUGGUUUCUACGUCAAGUUUGCAUAUACCGAGUUCGGCUCUGCCUAGGGUUCCACGACGGCGUUUGCCUGGCUUCCCUUCGCUCGGGCCGGGUCGUGCAGUACGGGUUCCAGCGCUGCGGUGCAUGGCGGGGCGGGGAAACAAGCAGGCGCUGCCUCCCCCUCGACCACCGGCGGUUUCCCAGGCUGUGGGGCGGACUAGGCAGCAGCCCGUGAUGCCGCCAGGGCGCCAGACGGGCCAGGCUUCGGCUGCACCGGUUCCCGCUGCUGGUCAGGGUUUGCCCAACGCGGCUCGGGCGGAUACUAACAGGAUGCAGCCGAGAGGUCGAUGGGGGGAUGAUGGUGUUAAUGCAUAUGGUGAUGGACAGCACCGUGGAUCCUCUUCGUCUGGAGGAGGACGUGGCUAUGCCUGGCAGAGCAAUGGCAGCGCUGCUAAUGGGUUCGCCGGUCCUCCGGGACAGUUUGUGCCCCGGGUCUCGGGUCCUACUCACCCUAGGGAGGUGGAUAUAAGCAACAUUGGGGAGGGAGAGGUGGUGGCAGGAGAUUGAAGCCGCCCACGCCUCCAGUAGAGGUAGAUGCUGCCAAGACAACGGCGGGAGUACCUUCCAAUGCUCCUAAGGGGAAUACACUGCUGCCACCUGUUUCCGAGGAGGAUCCUUCCUUGGCUGACAAGGGAGUAUCGCUUGCGAAGGCAGAGGGGGGGGGAUAGGCCCUCCAAGUGGGCACGCAAAAAAGAAAAGAUGACAUGCUACCGUUGCAGUGAGACGGGUCAUUUUGUUUCCGAAUGCAGCGCGGAUCUGUGUGACUUUUGCUUAAAGCCUAAGCAUGGCUCAGCUAAGUGCCCCCUUACUGUUGGUCCUAUACAUGUCGUCACUUUAUAUGGGGUUUGCUGCCAAGAGUUGAUGUUCUUUGAAUCUCCCUCUGCUUCAACGUCGUUGCAUGUGCCAGACGCGGCCUAUACGGGGACGGUUACGGUGGCUCGUGGUAAUAUGUCAGCUGAGCAGGUGGUGCAACAGUUGAGGGAUCUUGUUUCAUCAAUGUUUCGGUGGGAACUGGUCCUUAUAGCAGAUAAUGUGUUCAAGGUUGUGUUCCCUACCAAGGAGGACCUAGCUAGACUGCUCAAGUUUGGUAUGUGUCGGGUUCCUAGUACUAGUUGUGUGCUAGAGUUCGAUGCUUGGAAGAAUGAGGAGCCAUAAGGUGUGCCACUUCCUCAGAUUUGGGUUCGUUUUUCAGGGGCCCCGUCAAAGGCUCUAAAUGACUUUCUGGUGACUUGGAGUUUGGGAUCUUUGAUAGGUAAGACUGAGAGGGUGGAUAUGCAAUAUACUCGGGCUAAAGGUGUUGCCAGGAUGAGGGUUAGUGUAAUUGAUAUUGCGCUAGUACCGGAUGAAGUUAUAUGGACUUAUGAUGGAAUGCGGUACACCUUGCAACUCGAGAUCGAGAGUCCGGAUAUGUUCGAGGAGGAUGGGACAGACAAAGAUACCGAUAUGGCUGACGGAGAUGAUGCUUCGGGUUCUAGGGAAUCUGAUAAGAAGGAUCAACAGCCAGUUAUUACAAAGAUGGUGGAUCAACCUACCUCAGGUUCUGCUACAGGGGCUGCUCAACCAGUGUCUCUUCCCUCGACGCAGCUUAGGUUCGGUUCCUUUGAACCAGCCUCGGCGCCAGAGAUUCGAGGGAGGGCUUCAGAGAAGUAUGAGCGGGAUCUGGUUCAUCUUAAGCCGCAAGGAAAGCAAGCAAAGUCAGGGUCAUUCAGUAUUAAAAAUCCUAAGGAAGCUUUGACCGUAGUUUCUCUUGGGGAAUAUUUUGUUGUCGCUAGGAAUGCUGAUACGGGCCGGUCUCAGCAACGUGAUGCAGUGCAGCCAGCAAGGCAUAUGUUGUCCGGGUUGGGUACUGUGCCGAGGGGUGCGCCGCCUGGGUCGCCUAGGCAGGGUUCGCUGCUGCUGUAGAGUCCAUCGCCAGCCACCCAGGGGGUUGCUGUUUCUCGGCCAGCCACCCCUGGGGCUGCUACCUUUUUGCCAGCCACACCGAGGGCAAUUACAGCGACUCCUCCUCCUGGCCUACUUCCGUCGUUGGAUGCUGCUGCGAGAUCCACCCCUGCUGCUGGUUUCAUGUCAGCCGAGAGAUCAACCCCUGUUGCUGCGGUUCCUAUCGCUACUAUGGCUGCAACCGGGGCAUCAUCUUUGCGGGUGUCAGGGCUGGAGGGUACUGGUCAGGGGCACCAUGGCGAGGUCGUUGCACCGCCGUCUGUUGAGCAGGUCAUAGCAUACGGAGGUAUUCAAAGUCCGCUGACUUCGGACAGGAGGUCCAGUCGGCGAAUUCAGAAUCAACCUGAUGCGGAUUAUUUACAGAUGGGACGUGCUAUGCGUGCGGCUAAAAUGAGAGAUGUCGAAACUGAGACAGGUAUGUCUUUCAGCAUUAACGAUUCUAUUCUUCAUUUUUCUCCUCAAGAUAUUCUAGAUAAGGCAGGUUCUAUUGGGGUUACAUUGGGGAACAAUGGCCGAGAAAUUUCGAAAUCUAUUAAUGAUCUAUUAGACUUAGAGGUCGAUAGAGCGUUAGACUUAGUACGAAAUUUAGCGGCAGUUAAACCAAUGCAAGAGUCUGAAGUUAACGAUCUAGGGGGACUGAAUUCUCUUUGUGAUAGUCUGGCCCCGUCAGUGGAUAUAGAGGAUGGUGCGGGCGAGGUUUUAGUUGGUCAAGGGAUGUGUGCCCAAUCUCAUAAGGCUGAGCCUCAAUUCUCUGGUUAUAUGGACCAGGAGUUGCUGGAAAAGCCGAAGCGUCCAUGGAGACGGAAAGUGUAUCCGGUCUCUGCGAUACGUAGAAGUGCUAGAUUUAAGAUUGCCAAAAAAAAUUAUGAUGAUUAAUGAGAGGAAUUUUUUGGAAUAGCAGAGGUCUUUGAGACUUGGCUAAAAGAAGAUUUCUAGCAGAGGCUACUUUAGAGCAUCACCUUGAUUUUAUCGCAGUGAUGGAGACAGGGAGGGAUAACUUUACGUCUCAUUUUUUAAGUUCUCUAUCAGCUGGGGUGGAUUUUGACUGGCACUGUCUCCCUCCAAGAGGAAGGUCCGGUGGGAUCUUACUUGGGGUCCGUUGUGACACUUUUCAAGUGCGGGAGGUGGUGUUUGGGGAGUUUGCAGUCAAAUUCAAGAUUAGAUCUAAGGAUGACGGGUUCCAAUGGGCUCUCGUUGCCGUCUAUGGCGUAGCACAGCCAGAUCUAAAGCCUGAUUUCCUAGCAGAUCUGGUCAGGAUUUGUGAUGACAAACUACCAUUGCUGGUAGGUGGAGAUUUUAAUAUUAUUAGGCGGGCUGAUGAAAAAAGUAGUGUUAAUUUUGAUGGAAGAUGGCCUUUCAUGUUUAACACAAUUAUUGAGAGCUUAGAUAUGAGGGAGACCGCUCUAUCAGGUAGGAAAUAUACCUGGGUGAAUGCUCUACAGAAUCAGACAUUUGAAAAGUUGGAUCGUGUCUUAACUAGUGUAGAGUGGGAGCAGAAGUUCCCUCUAGUAACUGUUAGAGAACUUCAACGCGCAAUCUCGGAUCAUACUCCUCUGUUGCUGGAUUCCGGUGAGGCUAGCCAUAUAGGAAACAAACAUGGAUUCUCUUUUGAAUCAAGUUGGUUCACAAGGGAGGGGUUCAUGGAUAUGGUCGAGAGGGAAUGGAAUACAGAGGUCAGGGGCGAAACCUCUAUAGAAAGAUGGCAGUAUAAGAUUAGACAUCUUAGACAGUAUUUGAGGGGCUGGUCUAAGAAUGUGUGUGGAAUAUAUAAAGAAGAGCAAGAUAAGCUCCUCAAACUUAUAGACAAUCUAGAUCGGAAGGCUGAGAGUUGUCUUCUGGAUGCUAACGAAAGGGAUCUCAAAUUCGAGGCCGGACAGCGCUUGCGUAUUCUCCUAAGAGAGGAGGAAAUGAAAUGGGCGCUUGAGCCAAAGUGAAGGCCAUAGUUCUUGGAGACAAUAACACUAAAUUUUUCCACUUGAUUGCAAAUGGCAAGCAUAGGAAAAAGAAAAUAGUGCAGCUUGAGCAAGAUGAGGGUACAAUACUAGGUCAUGAGAAUCUAAAAUUGUACAUCUCUAACUACUACAAACAUUUAUUUGGUGCUCCUGAGCAUAGCUUUGUGACUAUGGAUGAGCAAAAAGUGGCGGAUAUUCCUCAAGUUGGAGAGGCUGACAAUGAGAUUUUAUCCGCUCCUUUCUCAGAGAAAGAGGUGUUUGACGCGAUAGGGAAUAUGAAGAAUGGAAAAGCUCCCGGUCCAGAUGGGUUUCCGGCGGAGUUUUACAAGCACUGUUGGCAUAUUAUUAAGAAUGAUCUUAUGUCAAUGUUUGCUGAUCUUUUUAGUGGUCACCUUCAACUCUUCCAUUUGAAUUUUGGUACUAUUACACUCUUACCAAAGAAGGAAGGGGCCACGCGGAUUGAACAGUUUCGUCCGAUCUGUUUGUUGAAUGUUAGCUUCAAGAUUUUCACAAAGGUGGGAACAGAUAGGUUGACUAAGAUGGCCCAUUCGGUGGUACAAUCUACGCAAACAGCUUUUAUGCCAGGACGGAAUAUCCUUGAAGGAGUCGUUGUCUUGCAUGAAACUCUUCAUGAAAUGCACUCGAAGAAACUAGAUGGGGUUAUCUUUAAAGUGGAUUUCGAAAAAGCUUACGAUAAAGUCAAAUGGUCGUUUCUCCAGCAAACCCUACGUAUGAAGGGUUUCGAUGAGCUGUGGCGUAGGCACGUCGAUUGUUUUAUAAAGAAGGGAAGUGUGGGUGUCAAAGUGAAUGAUGAUGUGGGUCAUUUUUUCCAGACACUAAAGGGUCUCCGCCAAGGAGAUCCAAUGUCUCCCAUUUUAUUUAACAUUGUUGCUGAUAUGUUGGCACUGCUGAUUAAGCGGGCCAAUGAGAAGGACCUUGUAAGGGGCUUGAUCCCUCAUCUUGUUGAGGGGGGGAGUCUCCAUUUUACAAUAUGUGGAUGACACGAUUCUUUUUUUGGAGCAUGAUCUCAGUAAAGCCAGGAACCUCAAACUUAUCCUAUGCUUAUUUGAACAGCUAUUAGGGCUGAAGAUAAAUUUUCAUAAAAGUGAAUUGUUUUGCUUUGGAAAGGCCAAGGAUGAGCAGCUCACGUAUAAUCAAUUGUUUGGUUGUGCUAGCGGGAGUUUACCUUUUACUUAUUUAGGGAUCCCAAUUCAUCACAGAAAAUUAUCAAAUAAGGAUUGGAAAUGUAUCGAGGACCGUUUCGAAAAAAGUUGAGCUGUUGGAAGGGCGAGCUCUUAUCGUAUGGAGGAAGGUUGAUACUGGUUAAUUCAGUAUUAACAAGUAUGCCUAUGUUUCUCCUAUCCUUCUUUGAAGUACCUGUUGGGGUACGGAAAAGGUUGGAUUUCAAUCGAUCACGGUUUUUCUGGCAAAGUGAUGAGAUCAAGACUAAAUACAGACUCUCGAGAUGGGACAUCAUGUGUAGACCUAAGGAUCAAGGAGGUUUAGGGAUUGAAAAUUUAGAGAUUAAAAAUAAAUGUCUACUCAAUAAAUGGCUGUCUAGAUUAUCUAUGGAGACAAAGGGGUUGUGGGUACAAAUUCUGACGAAUAAAUACCUACAAAACAAGACUUUGGCGCAGGUUACAUUGAGACCAACUGAUUCACCGUUCUGGAAGGGGGUCAUGCGGUCUAAGAAUGCUUUUUUUCUCAGGUCUAAGUUUGUUAUUGGCAAUGGCCAAUCUACUAGAUUUUGGGAGGAUACUUGGUUGGGGGAGACGCCUUUAGCCAUGCAGUAUCCGCAACUCUACCAUAUUACACAAAGGCGUCAGGCGACUGUUGCGUCAAUUUUGCGCCAGGUUCCUCUAAAUAUUCAGUUAUGUAGAGCCUUAAUAGGUAACACAUGGUCAAGCUGGCUGCAUCUAGUGAGAAGGUUGUUGGAUAUUACCCUUACUGAGAACCCUGAUAGUGUUCGUUGGAAGUUGACCACUGAUGGAGUUUUCUCGGUAAAAUCUAUGUAUUUAGAUCUCAUAGAUUCUGUGUCCAUCCCGAAGUCCUUACAUAUUUGGAAGGUCAAAGUUCCACUUAGAAUUAAGAUCUUCAUGUGGUUUGUUCGCAAGGGGGUUAUUCUAACUAAGGAUAAUUUGGUCAAACGUAAAUGAAAAGGUAAUACUAGAUGCAGUUUUUGUGAGAACGAUGAAACAAUUAAACACCUCUUUCUGGACUGUCCUAUGGCUAAACUUCUAUGGCGAACACUUCUUAUUACUUUCAACAUUAAGCCACCCAAUAGUUUAAACACGUCAUUUGGGACGUGGUUAAGAGGGGUCGAUGAUAUAACUGCUAGCCUGAUCCGAGUAGGAUCAUGUGCACUUCUGUGGGCUACAUGAAACUGUAGAAAUGACUUGGUAUUUAACAAACAUCAACAUAUUCACUUUUUGCAGGUCAUUUUCAGGGUUAUUGCCUUGAUCCGCACAUGAUCAUUACUCACUCCUGUGGAAGCCAGGGAGCCUAUGGUUACUGGGUGUGUCCGAUGGAAGAUGGUAGCUCAGGUUAUCUUCAACCGUUUUGGAUGACGGCAUAUUAAUAGGAUAGGUGUUUAGUCAUCUAGGCUUAUUUCAAUGCCUCCCGGUUGUGGCGACGACGCCGUGUAUCUUUUUGUUAUUUUCUUCAUUUACUUAUCUGAAGACUCUUUGUACUUUUCGAGGAUUUGGUUUUGAAAUAAUAUAUGGCCGUAUGCAUCCUUCGAUGCCGAGGCCGGGGCUUUGCCUCCUUUUCAAAACAAAAAAAUUUAAUUUAUCCUUUCAUUGUUAACCCCUUUUUUGGACUGCAGUUAUUCUAACUCUCUUUUAAGUAAUGUAAUAAGGCAUAUCUUUUUCCUCCAUUUCGAGACAAAGUUCGGACCUAGCACAACUGUAACAUCCGCUCUACAUCGACUCACUCUAGAGAGACUAGUCUUGGCACCUUUUGCAGAACAUGAUUAGUGUCCUGACAUGGAGUAUUUUAGCAUAUAAUGGUCAACUCUCAAGCACAUAUCACUUCAAAUUGCAUUGCUGAAAAAGAACAUACACUUGCACGUUUUUCGAACUUUCACGCAACAAUAAAGUAACUCAAUGAAAUAUUAUGAUACACUCAAAAACAAUAAUAAGCACUCAACAAAAUAUCAACAGUUUUAUUUUGAUGGACGUAGUAGGACUGUAUCUGUUGUCCACUUGGCUACUUUAUCAACAUAUUUAUUUCAACCACCCUGAUCAACAGACAAUAUCUAAGUAUGUUAUGCUAAUUGAGUUAAAAUGGAUAAUCCUUAUUUUAUAAGAUGCAAGGAGUCGAAACAUAUUGUGAUUAGUUGCAUGCUACUAGCCUACUACAACACUAUUGAUCUUAGUUAAGAAGAUUAUCUUGUGAUUAGACGAAGUCUAGAUCAUCUAGCCAAGUAUGAAAAUAUUUAAAGGAGCGUGUGGAUACCUUUUCUUCUUUAAUAAAGGAAAAAAAAUUGUGUAUAUAUGCGAGUCUGAAAACAAAGAAAAGAAAGAUGGACAGCUUAUCACAGCUUCACAUAUGUCAUCUACUCCCUGCGUUCCUAAAUAUAAGUCUUUUAAAAGAUUUUACUAAAAGACUAUAUAUGAAGCAAAAUGAAUGAAUCUACAUUUUAAAUAUAUCUAUAUACAUUCUUUAGAAAGACUUAUAUUUAGGAACGGAGGGAGUAAUAGCUAAUUGAGGGGUUCAAAUAACUUUGUUUCGCAAUAAUGAUUGAAAAUCAACCUUUUGUUGAAAUCCGAAACUCUACGUACGGUAGACCUAUUUUUAUCAAGGGAAUCAACAAAGAUGAUCUGCUACAUAAAAAUGCGCGUAUGGUCACUCACGAGCCACAAGGACGAUGCUUGAGUAGUGAUGAGUGAGGUGCACGAUGAGAUUAAAUAUUCCAACUAGUGUAACCGAAAAGUAUAGUAAGUUAGACAUCGUUCUUGGUCCACGAAAAUAGUGGCGUGAUCGAUGACAUCUUGAUGCCGGCCGGAGACUAGGAUCUGGCUGUUUGAUAGGGUACCAAUUAAUUUAUACCCUCCACUUGGCCAACUUACUUCAUCACCAGUCGAUAACUGUAUACGCAUUGUUCCAUAUUCAUGCAUGCACGUGCUUACAGCCCAAGAGCAUUGGGUUUAGCUGGUGCUGUCUGAUCCGCUUGAACUCGUAGAAAAAGGGCCUUUGGCCUGGACCCUUUAGUCCCAGCCUGUCUUUCGGUCGGAACUAAAAGCCGGCCACGUCAUCCCAAAUUAUCAGUUUAACCCGCUUGGCCACCAUUUAUAUCAUUAAAAAACCUCAAAUUUGUAGCGGGGUGAGUUUACAUGUUACCUUGGAUCGCCAUUGUUUUUUUGGCCCUGCGUGUAACGACGAUGGCCGGAGUAGGCUCGUGCAGAUUAGUCCUCCUCUUGGUAAUUAAGGAGUAUAUAUCCACUAGCUAGUGUCUGACAUUCAGAACCUCCACUCGAUGGCCAGAGUAUUUGAUAUUUAUACUCUCCUCUUGGUAAUUAAGGAGUGCAUAUCCACUAGCUAGUGAUCUAAACGUUUCUAUAUUAAUUUAUGGAGGAAAUAUUUAAUAAGGUUAUUACCCAACAUUACAGGCGCCAUCCGAUAAACCAUAUCACUUUUUUUUGCGAGGACCUAAACCAUAUUCAAAAUGCAGAAUUACUGGCACGUGGUGUAGUUUACGGAUCGAGCCUCCUCCUUCGUGGGCACCAUAGUAGUCAUGCAAGACAUCGUAGUUAUAUAGUGGUCAAGUGUGAGUUAUGAUUGCUUGUAUAUUUUUUAUGCGAUUUAUGAGUCAAUAAAAGUGCUUUUAUUGAGAAAUGUAUCUAUAUUGAUUAUUGUUGAACCUGCCAUUAAUGUAACUAUUUACACAUGUGCGGGGCCAUGCCGUCCAACACGAGGAGCUUCAAAGCGUAUGUGUGGGAGGGGAGUGCGUCGAUGCUGCAAUGACGAACUGCUCUUGGUCGGCGUCCAGCCGGUGUUCCUCACCGGCCAGACCGAGGACCAUAGGGACAUCAUCGUCACCAACCUCCACCGCCCGAGUUCAAGGGCUCCACGGUAACCUACAAGUCUCAUGAGAGGCAGAAGUUGCCGACGACCUGGUAUGUCAUCGUGGGCACCAUUGAUGACCAAGGGAACGACAUCCUGGGGGUAUCCGGUGGGGGGCACACCUUCAAGUUGCCCGACCACAACGGCUAGGCUACAUAGAGAUCGGCCAUGCCUUGAUUGAUUUCUUGAGUAAGCUCUAUGCUUUCAAUUGUAUGCAUGUUUAGUAAACAAUCCCUCCCUAGUUGUUGCUUUGUUCAUUUUCAUUGUCGAGAACUUGAGAUCAAUAGUUAGUAUUUAUAAGACGUGUUACGCUAAAAGUUGCAUGCAACAUAAUCAAUGGUUUGUUGGUUUUAUUGUUUCUCUCUAUUACGAGAUCCAUGGGCUAUAUUGUUGUUUGAUGUAUUGUAAUUCUUAACUUGGAUCUGUAAUAUUGAUCAUGGUGUACUUUUUAACUAAAGAUUGUUGAUGGUGGAAUUAGUAUGAAAGGUACAUAGUGCUGUCACACAUAGGGUGUCACUACUCCCAUUUUGGCCCAACAGAAGGAAGGGUCAUCAUUUACGGGUCACCAGACUGCGUUAGUAUAGAGGCAACAAGGUAUUUUAACCAUGCCGAACAUCAUUAUUGUGAAGAUUAAAAAUGAGGCGGCAACUUGGGUCAAUUUUUGGGGUGGAGGAUUUGAGAAACACUAUGCCCCGUGAGAAACUCCGCUAUAUUAUUUAAGUCUUUCGUUUUUAGCCUCUCUUUUUUCGGCAGCGGUUCUUCCAACUCUCCUAGUAAAUAGAAAGGGGGAAAGAAAAUCUUUUGCCUCCAUUUUGAAAAAGAAAAGGUUGAGACUAACAUCCCUUUCCAUCGACCCACUCUAGAGAGUGUCUCCAACCUUGUUUUCUUGGCCCUUUUGCAUGACAUGAGUAGUGUCCUAACAUGGACUCCUUGAUGUGUAACGCUCAGCUCUCCUGACCAAAUCGCUUAGAAUUACAUCACACGCAAAAGUUAUAUACUUUUGCAUGUUUUUCGCACGUCAAUGCAACAUUAAAAAUUUCAAUGAAACAUUAUGAUACAUUUUGAAACAAAAAAGAACUCAGCAAAACAUACUGUGGAAAUAGAAAAUUUUUGCCAACAACUAAAAAAACGCAGUCAUCAAUUUAGCCGCAACAAAAAUAAGAUGUUAGAAGUCAGAACAUCUUGUGCAUGAUUAUAUGCUAUAGGACUAUUCAUUAGAGAAACUAGUUGGGUAAAACUUUCUCCUUUUUCCGAAUCUCCUUUUUAAUGUGGGGAAAAAGCUAAUGCAUUGUGGUUUAAAGUAAAUAUUACAUCGGCCUGGGAAAUUUAAAAUGAAUCUAGACUGGACGGCUACAAAGAGAACCAUAAAAGUAUUCAAGCACGUCAGAAGAAAAGGAAAGAUAAAAUUCAAAAAAGAAAAGAGAAAAGGAAAGAUGAACAACCUAUCACUUGCCUCAUAUCUUUACCUAAUAAUAAAGAGGCUAUUGCUUCCGUCGAAAAACCCACCGCUGCCGUUUUUUAAAAAGCCCCCUGUCUUUUAGGUAAUUAAACCCGCAGUACCUUUUUAUGUGUUACGAACAUGAAAACGUUUCAUUUUUGCAGGGAGCCUCCCAUGGCAUUGGAUAAGAGAAACGCAUCUGGGCUGACGAAAACGCACGAGAGGGCUAUCGCUUCUGCCCUCAUAAUCCCACAUCGAUACUUCACAGAUAAUUUCAUCACUUUAUAUACAUGCGCCUUGGUGAUUUUACAAGAGGCAACGGAAAUCAAGAGAGGAACAAAUUCGAGAAGAAGAAAUUGAGAUGACGCAAACAGAGGUGGAGCUGCGAGACAGAGGGGGCUCGGGGCGAAGGAAAGGGUCGGGCGCCGGCGAUGCAUACGUGGAGGUGGGGGCGUCGGGGUUAGAGGAUUCAGGCAACCGGCGGGGUAAGUCUUGCCGGAGACUGGCCCCAUAGGCCGACCUCGCAGCAGCACACCAUGGGAGGUGGUCGCGAGGUGCAGAGGUGGGAGGCGGUGGAGGAGCGGAGGAGGAGGCGAGUGCGGGCGCCAUUGGAAGGGGGGAGUCGGGGAGAUUGGGGAUCCUGUGGGGCUCUCUCCCCUAGCGGCGCGAGGUGGAGGAGAGGAGGGGGGCUGGGGAUCGGGCUAGGUUAGGGGAUUUAGGAGUGGGUAAGGCUAUGCCUUGGCACGCCUAAUGGGUUGUGCACUACUACUCAUCUCUCUUUCCUUUAAUUUCUUUAUCUAAAUUCUUUAAUUAAAAAUAUGUGGUAUUAUUUUUUUUCCGUUGCAACGCACGGGUCCUUUUGCUAGUAUCAUCUAACAAAUCGAGGGGUUCGCAUAGAUCUGCUUCGCCACAUAAUAAUAUAAUCAUGACAAAAGGCUACCUUCUGGUGAAAGCAGAAGCUCUGCAAUAAAGCUGCAAUCGUAGACCUAUUUUAUGAAGGGAACCAACAAAUCGAGCUGCACAAUCCAAUUAAAUACUAAUUCCUCCGUUCCUAAAUAUAAGAUUUUUUAAAGAUUAUAUUAUGAACUACAUAAAAAGAAAAAUGAAUGAAUCUAUAUUUUAAAAUAUGUUUAUAUACAUUUGUAUGUAGUUCAUAGUUAAAUCUAUAAAAGGUCUUAUAUUUAAAAACAGAGGGAGUAUAAGUACUGAGUAAGUUUGACAUUUGUUCUUGGUCCAACAAAACAGUCGUGUGACCCAUGACGAAGCGGCGAUGCCGGAGUUGGAUCUCACUGUCUGAUAUUUAUCGAUUUGUGCCCUCCACUUGGCCAGCUUAAUUGAUCACCAGUCUCUUUCAUUGACAAUUAGUGCUGCUCAUACACGUGCGUUGCAUACAGAUGAUAUAUUGGGUUUAGGUACGGCUGUCUGAUCCACUUGGCCACCUUCUCACUAGAAAGCUCAAGUUUGCAGCGACGAGUUUGCAUGUUACUACAUUGGAUCGCCGUUGUUUAGCCCUGCGUGUGUGAUGAGGGGCGGAGACCCGGAGCAGACCCGUGCAGAUUCGUAUUCCCUUGGUUAUGUUUUAUUCUGUAUAUUAGGUUUGUAUAAUGUAAAACCUAAAUUUGCUUCGCCACAUAAUAUAAAAUAAUAUAAUCAUGACAAAGGCUACCUUCUGGUGAAAGCAGAAGCUCUGCAAUCAAGCUGCAAUCGUAGACCUAUUUUAUGGAGGGAACCAACAAAUCGAGCUGCACAAUCAAAUUAAAUACUACUCCCUCCCUUUUUAAAUAUAAAAACUUUUAAAAAUUAUACUAUGAACUAUAUAAGAAACGGAAUGAGUGAAUCAAUACUCUAAAAUACUCCCUCCGUUCUAAAAUAGGUGUCUUAACCUUAAUACAAUUUUGUACUAGAUCUAGUACAAAGUUGAGACAAUUAUUUUAAGACAGAGAGAGUAUGUCUAUAUAUAUUUAUAUGUAGUUUAUGUUGGCUUUGGAUCCGUAGAUUAAUUCACCCAGUAGCUACCACAUACGUGCAAGCUAGCCUCUAAGCUAGCAAGCAGGCACACAAGUGGAUGGAUAUCCAAUUCGUAGAAAUAGAACGACGUACGACGAGCUAGCUAACUGAUUCGAUCGUCUUGACUGCUCGGAAUGUAACUCGUUGAAAAACUGAUCGAUGGAUUGCUAACAGGCUCGUAUCGAGCCUGGUACUUUUUUAUUGCGUUUUGAUCUCUGGUGUUACAAGCAACAUCUCUAGGAUGCCUUUUAUACACAUCCACAAGGAACUAUGAAAAUAGACUAGGACUAGGUAUCCUAAUACUACUAGAACUCGGUUUGAUUUUCUUUCCUAAUCCUAUGUGUACAAGGCAACGUGAUUAACUCACAUUCACCCCCUAAUCACGAUGUCCUUACUUCCGACCUGGGUCCCAAACACGAUUGCUGCUUCUCAUAAAUGUUAUCAUCGACAUGGCCUUUGUCGUCCCUUGCAACAUUUUAUGGACCGUCUUUACUGUCGUCGGCUCGUCCGUAGCUCGAUGACAACACUCCUUUUUGGUCGUGUCUUCAAUCUUCAUCUCUUCUUCGGUGCUUUGUAGACUGUCCUUCGGAUCAUCGAGGGUACAUCUUUUGAACCUGAGCGUGACCAUACUUUGGUCUAACUUUGAAUUUCAAGCUCUUGGCGCUUGCAUCAGCCCGUAACUUUGAACCACAAGGAAGAAGUACUUCUUUCCUCCGUGAGUUGCUGGGGUGAUAGGGCCACAUAGAUCACCAUGGAGCAGCUAGAGUGCAUCACUUGCACGAUAGGUAGACUGAGCAGGGAACGGCCUGCGGUGCUGUUUUCCAACCAAGCACCCGUCACAUACUCGAUCAACAUGGUCGAUAACUGGCAUCCCGGAUACCAUCUCCAUCUUUGACAUCUUCUUCAAGGCGUAGAAGUUAACAUGUCCGAAUCAUCAUCACUCUUGGCGAGCCAACACUCCAGUUGAGAUUGAUCAAGGUUGAGGAUAUAGAGCCUGUUCCGUGUGCGAGUAACACGAGCUAGCACGUUUCGGAGGUUGUCGAAGAUCGUCAUUACUCCGUUAUCGAUACCCACCUUGCAUCCAUUCUCGUCAAGCUUCCCAAUAAAGAUGAUGUUGUUGUGAAGCCGUGGGAUGUAGUACACUCCGGUAAGUAUGCGAUGUUCGCCUGUGAGACCCUCGAAGAGGACAGAUCCUUGCCCACAAAUCUCCACAUUUGAACCAUCACCGAACUUGACUGAGCCUUCAACAUCGUAUUCCAGCUCGAGGAAUUUCUCCUUGCACCCCGUCAUGUGGUUACUGGCACCCGUGUCGAGAUACCACAACACAUUCUGAUCACCAGCUAACUUCGGUGUCACUUUGUUUUCAUGAAGUAGCACCUUCCGGCUUGGUUUCACAACCACCGUUUCAGCGAGAUCACAAACUUCGGCCAUCAGAAGACCUGGACCUUCGUCUUCCUCCUUUGCCAAAUUUGCCUUGAUCUCUCGCUUGUCAUGCUCCGGACAAUCCUUUGCAAAGUGACCCAUCUCGUUGCAGUUAUAGCACUUGACCUCGGACAUAUCCAAGUUCCGUUGCUUCCGCCCUUUAGAUCGGUCAGCCUUACCACGACCUUGUAGCUUGCCUUUUCCUUUGCCUUCUCCGGUUUGUCCGCCGCGCGUUGUGCUGCUUGAGCCUUCGUUGCCAUCACACCUUCCUUUGCUACUUGGGGACUCCCAAUCUGCACGUGAGUACAUGAGUUGGUCACUACCUCCUCCGUUGCCUUCCCGACAACUACGAGAAUUCUCUUCCCACGUCCGCAGGCGUCCGAUCGCCUCCGUUAUGGUCAUGUCGUCGAUGUCGUAAAGCUGCUCGAGCGUGCCAAUGAUGUACGUGAAUUUUUUAGUCACCGAACUGAAAAAUUUCUCCACAAUCUCGGUCUCCUCGAGCUUUGCACCAAGCGCGCGGAUCUCUCCCACCAAAGUAGUAAGACGCAUGGCAUAGUCGUUCACCGAUUCAGUUUUCUCCAUCUGCAACUUGUGAAAUUGGCGCUUCAGCACUUGUGCCCGAGCCUUGGUGACGCGAUCUUCUCCGAUCCUCAUCUCGUUGAGUGCGUUCCACGCCUCUCUUGCCGUCUCGAACUCCACCAAUGUCAUCAGCACGGAAUCCGGCACAGACUGGGCUAUGGCGGCCAUGGCACCUUCGUCGCGCUCCUCGUCGACGUCGUCGUCCGUGAUGGCCUCCCACACUCGAAGAGAUCGGAGAAUAAUCUUCAUCUUCACCGCCCACACGUCAUAGUUGGCAUCGGUGAGCAUCGGGUACUGGAUGGGGAUGUUGCGAUGCGCCUGGACGUUGGCGCUGCUCGUUCCUCCAUCACUCGUUGCUGACUUGUCGUCCUUCUUCACCUUGUCGUCGUUCUUGUUCGCCUUGGCACCGCCUUUGCCGGAUUUGACCGACUCAGCGUCGCUGUCCGUCAUCGUAGAUCGUAGAUCGUCGAGGCUCUGAUACCAAUUGUUGGCUCUGGAUCUGUAGAUCAAUUCACCCAGCAGCUACCACGUACGUGCAAGCUAGCCUCUAAGCUAGCAAGCAGGCACACAGGUGGAUGGAUAUCCAAUAGAACGACGACGAGCUAGCUGACUGAUUCGAUCGUCUUGACUGCUUGGAACGUAACUCGGUGAAAAACUGAUCGAUGGAUUGCUAACAGGCUCGUAUCGAGCCUGGUACUUUUUGUAUUGCGUUUUGAUCUCUGGUGUUAUAAGCAACAUCCCUAGGGUGUCUUUUAUACACAUCCACAAGGGACUAUGAAAAUAGACUAGGACUAGGUAUCCUAAUACUACUAGGACUCGGUUUGACUAUCUUUCUUAAUCCUAUGUGUACAAGGCAACGUGAUUAACUCACAGUUCAUAGUUGAAUCUUUAAAAGGGCUUAUAUUUAAGAACGAAGGGAGUAUAAGUAGUGAGUAAGUUUGGGACACGCCGUUUUGGCUCCCGGACUCAGAUGAGCCCGAGCGUAAACAGUACGCCAGUUUGGGGUGCAAAAAAUGUUCCAAAAAAUCAAAAAAAAUUGUGAUGCAAGAUGCUCCUAUGUGUGAACUCUCUGUAAAAUUUUGUGAAGUUUGGACAUACGAGGAGCUCACUGCAAAAAAGACGAAAUUCAGAUGUGUGAGAAACUUUUGAAAAUCACACUAUUCAUGCCUGAUUUUGUCUUUUUUGCUGCAAACUCUUCAAAUGUCCAAACUUCAUAAAAUUUUACAGAGUUCACACAUCGAAGCAUCUUGCAUCAUAAAAAAAUAUUUUUUUUAAACUUUUUUGUAUUCCAAACCGUUGUACUGUUCACCGGGCUCAUACGAGCCCGGGCUCACAGAUGGAUUACCGGUAAGUUUGACAUUUGUUCUUGGUCCAACAAAACAAUGGUGUGAUCGAUGACCAAGCGGCGAUGCCGGAGUUGGAUCUCGCUGUGUGAUAUUUAUCGAUUUGUGCCCUCCACUUGGCCAGCUUAAUUGAUCGCCAGUCUCCUUCAUUGACAAUUAGUGCUGCUCAUACACAUGCGUUGCAUACAAAUGAUAUAUUGGGUUUAGGUACGGCUGUCUGAUCCACCUGGCCACCUUCUCACUAGAAAAGCUCAAGUUUGCAGCGACGAGUUUGCAUGUUACUACUCCCUGUGUACCGAAAUAUAAGACCUUUAAGAAAAAUUCCGACCAGAUGAAAAUGUGGACAAUUGACCAGGUUACCCCCCACCUCCGGCAGCUCGCUAAUUUCAAAUCAACCCAGAUCCAGUCGCCCCCCACCUCCGGCCAGCUCGCUAAUAACCCAGAUCUCACUACUCUGCUUGUCCGCUCCCUCCUCUGCCCCAGCUUGUCCGCUCCCUCCUCUGCCCCAGCUUGUGCGGCCCCUCCUCUGCCCCUACCUCCUCUGCCCAGCUCGUCUGCUAGCUACCAGCAGCUUCUCCAGUAGCCAGCGGCAGCAGCUCCUCCGGCAGCUAGCAGUAGAUCCAGCAGCUCCUCCACCAGCCAAUAGGAACUCCAGCAGCUCCUCCACCAGCUAGCACGAGCUCCAGCAGCUCCUCCACCAGACACCAGCACCAGCUCAUCCACCAGCCAGCGGCAGCCCCUCUGUCUGCCGGCAGAAGCAGCUCUUCCGCCUCUGCACUCCCAGCUGCCUCAACGAGGUCCUCUCCCAGUGAUGCACCCAUCGCCCAACAGAUCGCCGGAGGUUUUUCUUUUGAUCCAGGGUGCAGAUCGCCACAGGAGGUCCUAGUGGUGUUGGAUCCUGCUUAUCCCGUCUCCUGCAAACCAAAAAAGCAGGACAAUUAGAGGGUAUUUAUCACAACUUAGCAACAGUUGAACAGAAAACAGUUUAACAACAGCAGCAAAAAUUUUAGCGAGAUCAACAACAUCAGUAGCAGCAUCAAGACAUAGCAACAAUAGCAGCAAUAGGGAGACAUAGAAGUAGCGACAUGGAGUGGCAGCAGGAGUUCAUCAAAAUCAAUAGGGAGUAGCAGCAGCAGGAGUUCAUCACAAUCAAAAUCAACAGGGAGUGGCAACAACAUGGAAUUUGACCUCAACUGUACUCCGCCCGAAGAAGAUGAGAUCAGUCAAAAUGAGAUCAACAUGGAGGACUCACAGGGAGGCAAUGAUCAUGUUGAAGAUGAGAUCAACAUGGAGGACUCACAGAGAGGCAAUGAUCCUGGUGAACAUGAUAUGAACAUGGAGCAAAUAAGGGGAGGCAAUGAUCCCCACGAAGAUGAUAACAGUAAGCACAAUAUACUCAUUUAGCAGUAACAGUGUCUCAUUUACCAAGUUUUUGAAAAUGAACAGCAAGUCUAGUUUCUGAAGAUGAACAGUAACUCCACUUUCUAGAAAUAAACAGUAAUAGUAACUCAUUUGAUCAUUUGAACAUGUGACCAUUUAAAUAUUUUAUCAAUUUAUCAUUUGAUAAUUUGAGUAGGACUAAUAUUUUUUCAUUGUUGUGUUUCUUGUUGCAGUUCUUGAGCAAGGAGUUAGAAAGAGGAAAACUCUGAGUGACCAACAAAAAUAUGCUGCUUAUGUGGCAUUGCACAUAUUAUGUAUGAGUAGAGGUGGAAAGUUCAAGAUAACGGAUAAGAAAAACCUUGCACAUUUUUUUAAUGUAGAAUUGAGGAGUAUACAAAGAGUUUGGCAGAAGGCGAUGAAGCAAAUUUCAGAAGGUUUCGAGGUGGAUGUUUCCAACCAGAAAAAAGGAAAUGUGGAAGAAAACCAAAGGACAUCAACCUAGAGAAAAUCCCUACAAUACCACUCAAUAGUAGGUCUACUAUCAGAUCAUUAGCCUGGCAACUGGGAUGUAGCCCUACCACUCUCCACAGGAAUUCAAAAUGAAGUUGAUAAAGAGGCAUACAAACUGUGUCAAGCCAGCUCUAAAGGAAAAGAAUAAGAAGGAUAGAAUGAAAUUUUGCUUGUCAAUGCUUGAUGAGGCAACAACAAAAACUGCAAGGCCUAAGUUCAAGACUAUGCAUAAUGUUGUACAUAUUGAUGAGAAGUGGUUUACGAUGACCAAGAAGAAUAAAACUUAUUAUCUGCUGGAUGGGGAGGAAGAGCCUACAAGGCCUAUACAUGGCAACUGUAUUGGCAAGGUUAUGUUCUUGACGGGCGUAGCUAGGCCACGGUGGGAUAGUGAAGGAAAUGUGACCUUCUCUGGAAAAACCGAUGAACUCACGAUAAACUGCGUGCGCUCUUUGUCCCAGUUUCAGUUCCCUUGUUCUUGCUUUUCUAUAUCCCGAUGAACUCACGAAUCCAUGAUCCAUGGUCAAUCCCCAAUAUAUAUACUCAAGCAAUAUACUCUCUCAGCAGUAUAUAAUCAAUCAUACAGGAAAGAGUAUCACUCUCUCAGCAGAAUACAUACUCACGAAUCCAUGGUCAAUAGCAGCAUAUACUCCGUGUGGGGAUUAGUCUAGCUCGUAAGCCACGGGUCCAAAUCAAGCAAUAUAUCUACACUAGAAUCUGUAGCAGAGUACACAUCUGACAAAACCGAGAGAUGUGGAGAGGAAGGGGGUAAGAGACGGAAGGGUACCUGGGUGAGGUCGCUGAGGUGGAAGCAGCCGGUGGAGCGGUCGAGGUCGCCGCUAGGGUGUCGCCGGUGCACUGGAGCUCUGCCAACUCGUCCCCAACUCGACGCCCAGCUCGACGCCCAGUCCGGCGCCCAGCUCGAUGCCCAGGUCGACGCCGUCAUUGCUCGGGCUCGGCUUCAGCGCCUCCUUCACCCUGUCCUUGCUCGCCCAGCUCGUCGGCUUCUUGGUCUCGACGAGGCUCCCGCUGAAGUACUCCACCCCCGCCGCCGCAUAGACGAGCAACCCAACUGAGGGCGCCCGCAGCUCCCGCUGAAGUGAUCUGCUAUGUCCAGCACCACUCCGUCAUCCAUAUCCAACAUCGGCGCCCACACCAGCUCUGUCGAUGCAAAACAAACACAUUUUUGACCUUUGAGUGGGAAAGGAAGGAGAGGAAGCACGCAGUGGGAAAGGAAGGAGACAACACACGCGGUGGGCUGUGGGAGGAAGAACGCGGUGGGCUGUAGGAGGAAGAACGGUGGGCUACGGUGGCCGGCGACGACGUAGAGAGGCGACGAGGGAGGGGAAUGAGAGGGUGUGAGAUCUGGGCAGCGAGUGGAUGAGAAUGGGCAGGUGGGGGCAUUUUCGGAAACUCGGAAAGUUUCGUAGUGUCGCGAGAUUUACACUAGAAUCGCUAAAACGUCUUAUAUUUCGGUACAGAGGGAGUACAUUGGAGCAGACCUGUGCAGAUUCGUACUCCCUUCGUUUUUAUUUAUUCUGUAUAUCAGGUUUAUAUAAUGUCAAACCUAAAUCCUUUUAACAAAUUUGUAGAAAAAUAUAUCAACAUAAUCCCUUCAUUUCACAAUUUAGCGCUCGUUCGUGUGCUUUUCGAGAUCUAAGUUUGACCAUACCUUUAAACAAGAAGACCGAUUGCUAUGGGAGCAAAAAUUGAAUCACUGAAUUUGUAUUGAAAUUAAAUACUGAAUUUGUAUCGAAAAUAUAAAUUCAUUGGUAUAAUUUCUGUUGCCACCGCAGUCGGUCUCGUUGGUGAAAUUUAUGGUCAAACUUAGACCUCAAAAAACGCGAGCGCACUACAUUGUGGAACGGAGGGAGUAUACACCAUCAAAUCAAUAUCAUUGGAUUCAUCAUUUCAUAUAUUUUCACAUCAUAUAAAUUUAUUAUUGUAAAUGUUCAUAUCGUUUUCUACAAAUUUCAUCAUACUUUAGAUAGUUUGACUUCAGACAAAACUAAUAUGAGGAGUAAAUAAAAUCAGAGGGGUACCACUCCUAGUAAUUAAUGUGUAUAUCCACUAGCUGCUGAUUGACAUUCAAAUUCUCCACUUGACGAUGGCCAGAGUAUCUGAUAUUCAAACUCUCCACUUGGCCACCUUAUUUCUUCUCCCCAAAUGAGCUAUGAACUGCUCAUUCAUCCAACAUUAAAAUCACUGUGAUGAAACUCUACUCUUUCAGUUUCAUAAUUAGUGCAUAUAGUUUUUCCCCAAAAAACUAAACUUUGACAAAGAUUAUAAAUAAAAAGUCUAUAUCUAGCACAUUGAAUACAUACCAAUAGAUUCGUCAAAAAUAUUUGCAUAUAUUAUAUGAUGGUAUUGUGGAUAUACAUAGAGUUAUCUAUAAACUUGGUCAGAUUUUACAAUGUUUGACUUUUCUAUAAAACCAAUAUGCACUACACUAGGGGAUGGAGGGAGUAUCGUAUGAAAUAUUAUGUGGAAUUAUUCCGUUUCAGACAAUGUUUGGUAUCAAACACAACAGGUACAAUGUUCUAUAGUUUCUCCAAUGUGCAGAAUUAUUAGUUGAAUUGGCAAUUAUUUACAGGAGGGGAGUGCGCUGGUGUGACCGAAAACUAAGUGGAUCGAUGUAUAACAAGCUUCUUUUGGUCGGCAUCAAGACGGUGUUCCUCAUUGUCCGAAUCGAGGACCGGAGUGCAGUAAAUUUUACCAAUCUAUGAUGCGCUCUGGGUGGAUGAAACUGCUCCAAAAGUUGCCCGAGUUCAACGACUCUGUGGUGACCUACGAAUCCGGCGAGCGGCAGAAGUUGCAAGACGUCAGGUAUGAUAUCGUAGGCAACAAUAGUGACCAGUGGAGUGACAUCCUCGACACACCCAAGGGCACCCGCACCUUUAAGCUUCCCUACCCGAUGUACUAAAUCGGCUAGGUUGAAUGCUAGCUAAUCGUCCACGAAUAAGCUCCAUGUUGUUCACUAUCCAUGCUUUGUGAUUACCUUUUUUCCGGGCAUGCUUCCUCAAUACUAAUCCACUAUUACUGCUAGUUUUCUAAUUUCUAUUGAGAAAUCUAUUGCUGCUUGGUUAAAUUCCAUAGUUGGGACCUUGAGUCAGUUACUAGUAUUAAUAAGGUAUGCUACAAAGAAAUUGCAUCUUGCAUAAUCAAUGAAUCGAUGCUCCAUUUUUCCUUGAUUAUAUAAUAUAUGUAGUUUCUAUUUUACACUUUGAUUUAUUUAUUUUUUACUUUUAAUAUUUCCUUUUUUUUCAUUUUCUAGUUUUAUGUUUUAUUUUUUUAUUUGAUCUCCCUUAUGUAUUUAUUUUCUUAUUUUAUUCUUUAGAAUGCUUUCUAUUUGUAAAAAAUAAUGAAUUUUUCCAUACCCUAAUAGUUAAAAACAAUUCCGGGAUAUUAAAAUUACGAUGAACAAGGUCCUAAUAUACGUCGAGAUUUUCCCAAAUACCUGAUGAAUAGUUUUUAUAUGUUUAAGUACAUUUAUAAUUUUGUAAUUACACCAUCAAAUUUAAAUAUAUUUUAAAUAUUUGUUGAAUGCACAAAAAGCAUUUACUAAAUAAUUCGGAACAUUUGCUAUUACAUUGUGAACAUUUCUAGAAUACACAUUGAACAGUUUCCAAACCAUGAUGACUUUUCUAAAUAUGCAUUAUAAAAUUUUCAGUUACACGAACUAAACUGUUUUACCCUGAAUUAUUAUUAUUUUUAAAUUUGUUUUUUCUUAGAAUUAUAAAUAAAAUUAAAUUGAAGUGUUUCAGAGUAUAAAGGACAGAACGGGUAAAAACAAUGACAGAAAAAAUAAAAAUUGCAUUGGGUCGGGUCAUUGUGGAAUACUAUGGGCGAGCCCAAAGGAGUGUUCAUUACUGGUGAAUUAUAGUAGCAACGUGAGGGAAAGUGUGCUUCUCAGCCCGAGCUCAAAUGAGCUCUGGUGAACAGUAAAAUCCAAAAAUAAUUAAAAAAAUAUGAAAUUGUUUGGUGAAAGAAAUUGAAAAUAGUCGUAACUGCCUCCAAAAUUGUAUUAUGAAAUAACAUUUAUUGAAGCCAUGGAGAAAACAAAAUCGAUACUCCAAAAUGCUUUUGAAAUUAGUAUUUUCAGAGUAUCGAUUUUGUUUUUUUGCCACAUGUCACACAAAUGUGAUUUUCUGAUGAAAUCUUGCAAGAUAUUAGAACUUUUGCCAAUGUUUAUCACAAAAAAAAAUAGAUUUUUCUGGAUUUUUUUAAUUUAGUUUUGAUUUUACUGUUCAUCAAAGCUCAUUUGAGCUCGGGCUGAGAAACUCCACAUCCCAACGUGAGCGCCUAUUUGGUGUCGUGCUCAUUUCUGGUAGCCGACAAACUGAGUGGUUUUGUGCGUGACGUAAAAGACACAAAACAAUCAGGGCACUUCGAAGGAAUCAACGUUGUGUCCUUUCACAGGGAAUGCGUGAUGCUAGUUGCUGGCCACUCGUGCCAACAAUUUUUGCUAAUAGAAACACAACAACAAUGUGCAGGAAAUUACUGCAGCGGUGAAUUCCAAAUAUUUUCUAAAGUACACAAAUAUUUCAUCAAAUCUGAACGUUUUUUGAAAAAUCACAGUAUUUUUAAGAUGCCCAAUAUUUUUUUUAACUUUUCAGAAUAUUUUAAAUUUCAAACUUUUUUUUUAAAUUGCCAAACAUGUUUUGAAUUUGUGGACAAAACUUUUGAACAGAGAAACAGUUUUACAACAUCUGAAACCUUUUUUGGAACGCAAUAAGUUUUUCCAAAUUUCCAAGCAUUUACAGAAAAUGGAACAUAUAUUGACCAUUUCCAAACAUUUUUCAAAAACAUGAAUACUUUUUGAUUUAUGAACAUCAUUUCAAAACAGGAACAUUUUUUGAUAAUUCUGAACUAUGUUAGAAAAUGCGAACAAUUUUUGGACGUUUGUUGAGAACCCAAUCAUUUUUAGAAGAAAAACAAUUAUUAAAGUUUCAGACAUUUUUUUACUUGUGAAGUAAUGACCAAAGAAAACCAUAAAAUGUAAAACAACCGAAAAUAAGGAAAAAAGGAAAGAAAAAGUUGAAAAAAAUAAAAAUAUGAAUAAUAAAAAAUAAUAAAUUCUGGAAAGCAGUGAAAAAUAAAUCACAAAACGGAGACCAGUUUAUACGUCCUGCUGCUAUAUGACAAAGUAAAAAAUCUAAAAAGAAAAUCCCACAACAAAAGCUAUUUGACAUACCGAGCGUCAUAUAGAAAAUUCAAACAACAACCACCACAGAACGCUGAUACAGAUGACGGGCAGGUGGAUGUUUCUCAGAAUCAGAUUUUGAAGAAUCAUGAGGCGAAAAGAACUGGUGCCUGCAAUCGGCCGUGGCAUGUACACAGGUGCUAGUAAUGAUAUAAAUCACGGAUAUUGAUUUUGAAGGUCGAGCUCCAUGGAGGUCUUUGAAUGCAAAAUUCAAAAUUCAUGAAAAUAUUUUUUUUUUAUAUUUCGAAAAAUUCCGUAACAAAUACAGAGAUAGAUGAAGGCAUAAUACACAAGUGUGUAAAUUUUUAGGACCAAAUACGUUGAAAUAAGGCUGUACAAAAAAGGCAAAUCUGAGGUUGUUUAACACAUGAUACUAUUCAUCCUCUCGGAACAUGAUUUUAUAUUUUUAUACAGGUUGCAUUUCAACGUAUUUCAUCCUUGUUUAGUUUUAUAAUUGUUUUCAAAAAAUCUGAGGAUGAGGCAUAUGUCUCACAUCCUUGUUUAGUUGUAUAAUUGUUGUAAGAUUUUUUUUUUAAUUUUGAACUUUUCAAAAAAUCGGCCUCGGCCAAAACGCCUUUCUCUAUAAAUCGUGAUUUGUAUACUGGUAAGAAGAAUGAAGCAAUGCAUAUUCAACUAAACAAACUACAUAUUGUCUUGAAUUCACUCAUUUGGAAUCUAGCUAGAAAGGGUGCUUUUUAGGUGCCCAGAUUUUUUAAUUUUUUUGAGGGAAGUGACGAGGUUCUUGGGAAGAAAAGAUUUAACAGAUUCAUUGGUUUUCACAAAGAGAGCAAAUCAAUAUGAGCGCAGAAGCAAUCGAGUUUUGCCAUUAUUAAGCAACAACAUGACAUACAUGAUACAACUAGAGGUACAUAUAGCUAAAUUAGCGGAAGCCCUUUGUAUUGGUACUGCUCGCCGAGCUCCGCGAGCAGAUCGUUUUCCGCCUUGAGUAUGUCGCCCAUGUUGUCCAGCAGGAGGUACUUGUCCAGCGAGAAGCCCGACUCCGGCGAGAUGAGCGCCGCGACGUUUCUCAGGAACUCCUCGUCUAAUGGGGCAAGGGGCUCCCACUUUUGUCCCGACGUCAGCAGCGGCUUCUGAGGUCGCCGCCUCACGACCUUCAUUUUCUUCUUCUUCAUCGUCAUCCUCCUCUUCUCCCCUCUUGCGGGCGUCGGCGACUUCGCCCCCGCCUCCGUGUUCUCACACGAUGAACUCGCCAUGAUUCUUCUCCCGUCCUUCUUCCGCUGAGAAGAUUGGUCUGCUCUGCUGGUUUCGCAGACUUGCGUGCUCGCCGGCACCGGUAUAAAUACAGCAAAAAUAAGAGAUCGAUGAUUCAUUUCUUGGCUAGGGGAGCAGUUCGUUGUAUCCGACUCGUAUUCAGUCCACGGUUCCGGUUCCUACUCCCGCAUGGUCGACGCAUCGGUUGGGAUCCUAAUUGGGACGGCCCAAUGGUAGGUUAUUUUAUAGUAUUUUUAUGUAUAUUGUCUAUAAGGACGUUACUGCAUCAAAAAGAAAAGUAUAAUGGCUCUGCAUCUAGUCUAGUUGCUGAAGCGUGUGCGUCGAACAGCUUCCCCAUCGCUUAGUGACAGUUCAUGAAAUCGUGUGCGAUGACCAUUUCUAUGGAUUUUUUUUGCAUGAUAAUAUGUGUCUCAUUUAUAUCAUAAUGAAAAUAAUACAAGACCAUUGUUGUGGAUUAUAACAACACAUAUACACAGCCAAAUACAAACCCUACGGUCUUGGUCACAAUAUAGUGGUACAGGUGUCCAUUAGGACAUAUGUCCGUGUGUUGCAACGGAAAAAAAAUUAAUUUGUAUUUGCAAGCACAACACGUCAUGCUCCGCUACGAAAGAACGCUAGUUACCACAUGACCAAAACGACCAUCGAUGCAUCACUACAUCCAGAGAGUGUCACCACCUGCAGGGAGGCGCACGUCAAAGCCUUCAACAAACGCGGGGACUAUGUUACUCCCUUUGUCAGACAUUAUUAGGCUGGUGGACCACUUAGCCUCAGCCGGACAUUAAUCAUGAAGUGAGCCUUAGCGCAGAUGGUAAAGAUAUCUUCAACGUGACGAUGUGGCGUUGUGGCUCCCUGGCCCAGAUCUUCCCACCAAUGAAUAGUAAAAUCGACAAAAAAUAGAAAAAAUGAUUUUUUUUUUUGGAGUGCAAGAUGUUCCUUUGGGUGAUGUCAAAAACUGCUUGGAGCUGAUUUUUAUUUUUUUUUGCCAGACGCUCCUCGAAUGUCCAAAUACCUCGAAAUUUUGCAGACAUUUUAGCAUCUUAUGAGCCAAAAAGGAUUCAGAUUUUUUUGAUAUUGUGCUUUUCACCGGAUGCAGAUGAGCCGGGGACCAUUUUGAUUAUUAUUAUGGCUAAUCUAGUUUAAAUGUGUCAUUGUUCAUGUAGCCCACAAUCAUUUUUUCUUUUAUUGUUUGAACACACCACGUCCUUCAUUUCUUUUAAAGGUUUCCUUGCAUGUCUGCUCGUCGUGCAGUUCAUUCCUUUUAAUUGUCAUUCCUUUUAAUUGUCCGCUUUUAGCAUCCAUUUUUAACUGUCUUGCUGAUAUUCCAAGCAAACCGCAAGGUAUAUAAACCGGUAGGGAUCUAUCUAAAGAGGCAAGGUGGGUUUAUUUAACAUAAAAUAUUGAUGUCGAGUUAUUUUUAAAAAAACAGCCUCAACUUUAUUAAUUAGAGAUAAUUGUUACAUCGUCUAUUAAAAAAGAUACAAUAUUUUCCAAAGGCUCCUCAAUCCACUCACUCGUAUCAGAACUCUUUGCUAAUCUAGCAAGCUCAUGUGCUACUUCGUUCGCUUCUAGUAAAAAAAAUUCAGAAGCCAUAGAAAAACAAUCCUCAAAGGUUGCAGCCGCCGCUCCCGCAUAGUACCCUCCCUUGUUCAUUGUUUCAAUUACUUCCGAGAAUAUUGAUGUAGAGUUGGUUAGUGCAGUUGCCUUACCCUGGACAUGGAGUAUUGAGUUUAAUCUUCCAUAAAUACAUAUUUUUGUACACGUUGUUCGUGGCCCAUGGCAGACGGCCCAAUAUUGUAGCGAAGCCCAGCAGUGCAGCAACCUGACAUGGUACGAUAGAUGGUGAGGUGUAUGCGUGCUAGCAACGUAAGAAAACGGCCAGGGAGAGGCAAUGUAUGUACAAUAUUUUUAACCAUGGAUUCAAGCUCGUAAAAUUUUGAGACUUUUCCAUAAAACUGUAUGACAGACUAAGAAUACAUAUUUUCUUAAUUAGUAGGUAUAGAUGCGGCAAGUGGAUUGUUUCCUGGUUUUGGGAAGUUUCCAUAAGCUUUUCAGACGGUUUUUCAUUUUUUCUAUUUUGGGGUUUUCCUGUACCAAUCUUGUCUAUUUUUUAUUUUCUACUUAUUUUCAUUUUGCUUUAUUGCAUAUUCUUUUACUUUUUUUCAUUUUCCUUUUUCUAUUUAAUUUUGGCAAAACACGAAUUGUUUCAAUUUUAUGAUACUUUUUUUAAUUGAGGAACUCCUUUUCGAACUCGUUUUUUCAAGUUCAUCAUUAUUAUUUUUUAAAAUUAUCACCUUUUUAAAAAAUAUAUGAACUAUUUUUAAUGUUUGUGAACGCUGUCUCAAAAUUGAUGAACUUUUUUCCUAAAUGCUGAAGUUUAUUUUAAAACUGAUGAACUUAUUUUAAUAUUUGAUGAUCUAAUUUUAAAACCGGAGAAUGUUUUUGCAAAAUAGACGAACUGUUUUUCUAGCAUAUGUACCUUUUGAAAAUUCAUGAACUUUUUUUCAAUUUUUGGGCUUUUUUUAAAAGUUGAUGAGCUUUAUUCAAAAUCGUGAAAUAUUUUCCAUCUAUGUGCAACCUCUUUUUUCAAAAUCAUGAACAUUUUCGAAUUGAUGAACUAUUAACAGAGAUUAUACGCAUGACCUUUUUUGAAUUCGCAAACUUUUUGUUGAAAUAUCUGCAUUCUAUUUGAUUUUCUGAUUAUUAUUUUCAAGCUAGCGAGCGUGCUCGUGGGCUCACCCAUGCUAGCAAUGGUGCGAGCUGGCACUGGCGCAAAACGCGUCAAUUAGGAAGAGCAACUAAUUAAGGAGUACUCGUCCGAGAGCCUCUCGAAGGGUCCAUUGCCACGUGUCGUACUCUUGGUGUUUCCUUUGGAUUUUUUUCUAUACAUAUUUAUGUCUGGAAUUUUGGCUUUAAGAUGAUUUUGUUUUCCGGGUUUUUUUGGCUUUUCCGUUUACCCCCGAUUUUUCUUACAAUUUAGACCCAAAAAUAAGAUUUUAAAGAAAAAUCACAAAAAAAUGCAUUUUCUCUUUCUUUUUUCCUACCCUGAGAGACAUGGAUUUGCUUCUCUUAGAGGCACAUGUGCCUCCUGAAAAAGCAAAAAAAAUGUUUUUUCCUUCCGCGAGGCAAGGUCGUGCCUCUCAGAAAAGAAAAAAGAUCCAUUUUUCCUUUCACGGAAGUACGGAUUUGCUUCCCUGAAAGGCCUAGUCGUGCAUCUUGAAAAAGGAAAAAUGCAUGUUCUCAUGAAGGAAAACAACGUGGUUUUAGUUUGGUUUUUUUGUUUGAUUUUUUCGUGAAAAAAAGUCCAACGAAACAUAUCAACAUGUGGUCUAGUUUUUAAGAUCUCGACGCAUGGAAUCUAACGGCAAAACCAGUUCUAGAUUUGGACGUAGGUUUUGAGAGAUAAAAUGUUUUGAAUAAACAAAUCUGCGAAAAAGGAAAAACCCUUAGGUUGCUACAAGUGACGCACAUGCAGUUGAAGACUUGUCGCACCCUGGGUUGGGGGAGUGAUCUUUGCCAAGAGUAGUUUUCAAUUAGUGAUUUCGCUAAUUAGAAGCUCGCAUCAUCUCCGAUGCGAGCACUAGUGGAUCAGCCCAUGUGCGCUCAUAUGGGUUUUUUGGAGCGGCUUUUGGAAGCUUCUAUGGAGCUGUUUAGACAAAUUUGAAAACCUUUCAUUCAUUUUUUAUGUGUUCACUAUAUAGAUUUACAUGGACUAAAGUAAAAUGUAGAUUUACAUUAUUUUUUCCCUUAGUUUUCUUUGUGUGUUUUUAUUCAUUUUUUGAAUACACAUGGAAUUUUUGGAAAUACAGUUCGAAUAUUUUUUGUUUACAUGUUAUUUCUUUUAUACACGUUGAUGAUUUUUGUAGACACAUUUAAGUGUUUUCCAAAAUAAACAGUAUUGAUUUGUCAAAUGAACAUUGGAUUUCUUAUGAAUAUAAGGUGAACAUUUAUGAAACACCCAUUGAACAUUUAGAAAAAUUCCAUGAACAUUUUUUUCUUAAAGCAUGCAAAACAGUUCUUAAUGUUAGAACAUAUUUUUUAAUGUCAAAGACAUUUUUGUUGAAUGGUACAAAAUAUUAUUUAAAAUUACAAGACCAUUUUUACAUACUAGAAACAGUUGUGGAAAAUGUUAUGACCAUAUUUUUGAAACGGCUGAAUAUUGUUUAAAUUUCAUAAAUAUAUUUAGAAUGGUAUGUCAAAAGUUUAAAAAUAUGUGAAUAUUGUUUCUACAUUGUAUAAAAAAUUUAAAAACUGUCAUGAACAUAUUUCUGAACACAUGAACUAAAUGUCAGGAACAUUUUUCGAAUGGUACAAACAUUUUUAAAAUUGUGGAGACAAUUUAUUACACUACAUGAACAUUUAUUUGAAACACGCAAUGAACAAGGGGUAAGGGACACGUGUCAUGUGCUUUGCUAGCGCAUCGUGGUUGCUGAGUGUCUCAUUCCUUUGUUGUUGAGUUUUGUUUUAGUGCGGAGUGUUUUUACAGUAUACUCGAGAAAGAUCCUACGUUACGAAGGAUGUGUUUGGUAGGCGUUUCUAGCGGGACUGGCUCGUGGACAUUGGCUCAACAAAGUUUGGUUGAGAUAAAACGAUCAUAAAACUAACAUCUGCAUUUAGUUUGGUUGCCGGCAUACAUUCUAAACUGAAUGGGGUGUCAUGAAAGACAUACUAUUUGGUUGUCUGUUUGUGUAUGCGCAAACACAAGGCCUACUAUUUGGCUGCAUGCAACACUUGUUGUGAGAUAACCUCUUCGAUGCGGUGGUGAGGUUACCAUCACAUAGCGGCGUCAGGAAGAACACACAACAUAACAUAGUAGUAAGCAGUUAUAAAUAUUGUGUCACAUUUAAAUAGAUUAGUUUAAAUGCAAAGCAGUUCAAUAUUAAACUAAAGCAACUAGAGCAUAUGAGCGGUUGUCCUAGACGUUCACAACGAAGGCAUCGUCAUGUCUCCCGCACCAGGCCACCACUUUACUGCCAUCGUCAUUGAAGACGAUGACCUUCACCAUGUCGGGAGUCAUCAACUGUGACCAUGAAGCCUAUCUUGAUUUGUUGGACGGCGACGAAGGUGGCCCAAACCUGGUCGAGGGUGACCCUUUCGUUCAACAGACGGACAAUGACCCUCCUAGAGCACUCGGUGUUCGCCUUCAAAUUGAACUCCUGUGGCAUAGACGGGAAGUGCUUCAUGAAGUCGAGUGGCAUAGGUAUGGCCUCGAGUGGCAUGAUUACCUUGCAGAAGUUAUUUGGCUCACCCAUCUCAUGGUAGUGGUCGUAGUUCUGACGCUUGUCGCUGGGGGGCUCCUCCGCGUAUCGUUGUCCGUGACCGGGCUCUGGACAGGCGCCACCUUUGAGGGCGGCACAACAUCCUUGCACUUGUAUUGCUCCUUUGGUGGCACCACCUCAUUGCCCUUGUUCUCCGUGUCGAUUUGCAGUGUGAAGAGGUUCAAACGAUUGGGUCAGGAUUUGCAAUAUGAACAUUGCAUCAUUGUCAUUAACUUAUUGUCGAGAACCCCAUUAUUUACCUAGGCUGAUGGUUACCACUUACCCACCACCUAGUUGUUUGUCUCUCUUCCUCCAACCCAAUGCCAUGAACUCUAAGAACAAGUCUAACCCCAUCCGCAACCCCUUUCCUUGGGGCAUUGGAUGGAGGGCCUUCUUCCUAGGGUGCUCGCUCGAUGACCGCACCAAGUUUGAGAACACCAUGAAAGUGUGUUCAAACUUCAACAGCUUGGAGGAGCAGUACAAAGAGUAGGACGCUAUGGUGAAGAAGGCGAGUCGGAGGAGUUGAAGACGCUGAUCAGUGACCCAAUGAAGGGUUCUAUGUGAGCCGACAUACUUCAUUGAGCCAUGAAUCAAGCCGUCCCCGGCGACGCUGGACAGAGGGAAAACUGAGCCAAGUACAGACAGCAUCGGUGUUCUUAUGACCACGGGGCCGCAACGUACUUCACCACAAAGAUUAUGGUGGUGCCGGUGGAGGAGCAUCAAGAAGUGCUGGCUAUGGAGGUGGAAGAGGAAGAUGCAGUGGCGACGAUUGUGAGGGCGCUGGAGCUAGGACACCUAAGCAUGCCAAUCAAGUUGGACUCCGGCGAGGAAGAAGAUAUGGUGGUGUAGGUCGAGGAGAAGACCAAGGCCAAGGCUACCCACCGCUCCAAUCGCCUCCAGGGUCCUGUGUACUAUGUAAGAUGAACCCUAAUCCCCAUUCCGAUUGUACUCAAUCCUGAUUGGGAACCUCAUAUCUACCCGUAGUCAUGACGAUGUUAUGACCACUCCUAUGGUGUUUACCCCGAUUCCCCAUUCUCCUAACAUGGAUCGAACCUAAACUCGGAUCAAAUGCAAAGUAGUACAUGAGGAGGGGGGAAAGUGCUUACCGCCAUUGCCGAAGUGCUGCUGUGGAUGCCGGUGAAGAGGCCGGAGUCGAUUUGCUGUUCCUCGAUCUGAUGCACGCCAUCGCCGCCGUCGGUGAGAGUAGGGAGAGUGGAAAGAGAGCGGUGAGAAAAGGUAAGGGUAAUGACUGUCGACGCUUCGGGAAACAACGCGGCUUCUCAAGGGUGGCUCCCCUUGUGCAACCCCUGCCGCCCACGUGCAUCGCAGAGGCCUGGCUCGCGAGAAACUACCAAUUCGAACGUGCCUCGCGAGACAUACCCAGACAUGCUUUAAAGUUCGUGACAUGCAGGCCCAACAAUGUAUGUUGACAACCAAUCAGUUUGUUUUCUUUCCACGGGCCUGGUUGGACCUUAUGCGGGCAACCAAACGCAUCCCCAAGUGUUGUUUAUUUGUCGGAAUUUUCUAAGGUACUGGGCAAACGACAUGUGUACUGAGUGCCCAUGAAAUUACACCAGGCAAACUGUAAAAUACUCAGCGUAAUUUUUUUCCUGUAGUUGUACAAUUGGCUGCGCUGCAGUUCCAAAUUUGAUAAAGUUACAAGGUUGGUGUACCAGAAAUUCAUUAUCUACCAAUCAUCAAUAUGUAUGCACAAAACAGUUGCCUGUCUGGGCCUUUGUAUCAACGUCCAUCCAUGUGUAACACGUUCAGCGGAACCGUCUACCAAACGUCUGACAGACACAGACACGUGCAUAUCCUCCAAACCGGGCAGGCUGGUUGCUUGCGCCCUCGUCGCUUUCUUGUCGAACUGGCUCCAUAUAUAGACUAAUGCACACCACAGUUCAAUUUCCAUUUUCGUUUCAGUCAUCGUACAUAUGACUGCAUUAUUCAGCUAACGUUUAAGCAUAGGGAUUUUUAUUUUCAUGUCCCGUCUUUCUUAGUUAUGAUUAGUUUUGCCCCGUUCAUUUAACAUUGCUCACUUUUUUCCCUUCUUUACUCAUCUACGCCUCGUAAAAGAUCAAACGGUGUGUUGACAUUGGGUUAGACCAGGGGCGGUCCUCAGAUUUUGGGGGCCCGGGGCUGGAUUAAAAGCCGGGGCCCUUAAUAUAGACAUAAUAACAAUAACACUGAAUAUACGUACCGGUGAAAUAUAAACACUUAAAUACGUCUAAUACUAAUAUGCAUAUCAAAUGUUUUAAAAAUAUUACCUCAAACAAUAAUUCUGACAUACCUUGAUGCAAAGGCCAUUAUGAUGGCGUCGAUGUUAAUAGCGUCCAAUAAUUUCUUCUCGAUGACAUAAUGUCACCAGACCAUAUAAACACUCUUGGUUCAUCGGUGACCUCACAUAGUUCUUCAAUCAAUAUUUCCAACUUCAGAGAGCUUCUUCCGACCAAUACGAUAGUCACAGGCAUAGUAAAUAGGAUGCAAUAAGCAAUGGAAAUAUCAGGAUAACAGCCAACUUCUAUUGACAUGCUGCAAAUCUCCAUUGCAGAUAUUACAGUCAUAUGGCAGAAUGAAUCCCACAAUUUUUAAUUUAGAAGUAAGAUCAUACUCCCUCCGUUCCUAAAUAUAAGACCUUUUAAAGAUUGCACUAUAAACUAUAUAGGAUGUACAUAGACAUAUUUUAGAAUAUAGAUUCACUCAUUUUGCUCCGUAUGUAGUCUCCUAGUUGAAUCCCUAAAAGGUCUUAUAUUUUAAAACGGAGGGAGUAUAUCUCAACAUCAUGAUACACAAUGCUGACAAAUAACAUUAAUUGUUGAACAAUAUCGAUGUACCGGCGAUGCAUCUACAGAAGCACAAUAAGAAUAUAUGAUAUACGUACCUCGGAUGGCUGAAUCAGCCAUGACGGAAAAUCAAAGCCGGAUUAUAGGACGCCCCGACGAAUUGAAAUCGACGGCGCGCAGCUGAUGAUCUAAAUUAGGAAAGAAAUUAGGUUUGGGAGAAAAGUAGAAAGGAGGGUCGAGCACGCAGUGGCGAACAGACGAUGCGUCGGCGGCCGCUAGGAAUCGCUGCGUCAAUGCGAGAUGGAAUAGGAAGGGAUCAAUCACUCCUAUUUUUUCGUGAAAAAACGGAAGGAACGGUUGCUGCCUUUGUGCCUCGCUGGACUGCUGGGUGCAUGUUUGCCUGCAUGCUACGUGAGGCCCAGUCAACCAACCCGAUAGGUCAUUUUUUUCUGAUCUGUAAAAACAUUAAAUAUGUUUGGACAAAGCCUAUGUACAUACGUGGGGAGGGCCCCCUAAACUUUGGGGGCCGGGGCGGCCGCCCCCCCCUGCCCCUCCCCUCGGCCGGCCCUGCGGUUAGACUACCAACAAUGAAAGUAACAUAGGUGGUAACAUAGAUAUCAUCUAAACAACAAAUGUGAUGUGGCAACUAAUUAAAGAAAAGUAAGAGAAAUUGAAUAACUUAGCAUGUUACUCAUAUUAGGAGUAACAUAGCGGAUACCAAGGCAAGAUGGGUGUAUAGGCUAAUAAAUAAAAGACUCAAUGUUACUACCCCUAUGUUACUAUCCACUAUGGAGGUAGUAACUUAGAUUAGUAACAUAUGUAUGUUACUCCCCAUUGGUCUUUCAGCGGCGUUCAGAGACUCCUUCAUAUUAUUAGACAUAAUUAUGUCUAGAGACACAACACACGAGGCUAUACGUAAAUCACCCUUAGAAUACCAGCGAGCUCUCGUUUAACCUACGGACCCGAUGGGCCAUGUUAAGACUGGUAUGAAUACCAGCAAGCUCGCUGACAAGGAUCCGACGACUCCAUUACCCCUCGCAUCGCUUAGAGAAAAAACCCGAUACAAGUCACCCCCUUGACUUGAUCUGGAAUUAUCUGCGAGAUGCCAUCUAUGCUCUCAUCUAUCAACAAUUUCAACACAUGUUCUGCCGGAGUUUUGGUGCUUGGAAACCAUGAGCAAACCGCUUGUCACUUCUCCCGUGAGAGAGCGUCACCGGCACAGAACACCUCCAAUGGUUUCGUGAUUGCCGAUGGCGGCUGCAGGAUUGGGGGAGGUAGGCUGCUCGGGCUGCGGGGGAUGCGAAUUGAGAGAGAGAGAGAGAGAGAGAGGGAGGGAGAGGGAGAGGAAGAGAGAGAGAGAGAGAUUUCGUCCCCCUUUUUAGGACAAAUGACCCAACCAUCCACUAGCCGGUCCCACAUGUCAGCAUUUCAUGUCAGUCCCAUGCGUCCACGCGUCAACACCGGACGAAGUAACGGUCAACAGUUUUGACCCGACGGUGAGGCAUUGUUUGGCCUUUUGCGAGACGGAGGCGAGUAGAGGAGGGAGAAAAGUGAGUAAUGUUAGACGGACGAGGCAAACUGAGCACAACUAAGUAACGAUGGACGAGGCAACUUACGUAAAACCAGCUACAAUUAUAAUAGCUUUCGAUGUACACCCGUGUGAUCACCAGCCAUCUAACAACCUUUGCCGACAGUUGUCCUUCAUCCACAAAGACAACAUCAUCCAAAUAAUUCACUUGCAAUCCAGGUUUCUCUAUCAUCUCUUUGGACAUUGUGAUAUUUACUAAUUCCCGAUCCAGAGGUCUCAUACGCCAUGGCGAUGUCAUGACCAGUCUAGGAGAAGAAGCACCUCGUAAACUAGAGCGGAACAGAACCUGGGUUUUCUAGGCAUGGCCUCUCGAUAAGAAGUUGAGAAGAUUAUGGCUGAUACAUGGUGAGAUAGGAUGAGGUGUCUACGCUGCCAUACGACAAAACCCUAGUAACAGGGGAUGCUUUAUCUGUGUUAUUUUUUAAUUAAAUCACAUGAAUAAUUGGCCGUGUGUAUGUAAUUCUAUAUUAAUAUAAUAGGACACAAAGAGGCAGGUCCAUAUCAUCUCGGCCAACAAAUCUAAGAUUUGAUGGUUCAUGUUGAGCACCAAGAGACGAAAACCGCUCGCGUCGCCUCCAGGGGGCGACACGGGCGCCCUAGCCGCCGUCGCCCUCGACCUCCCUCCUCCCCCGCUUCCCCGCCGUUGCCGGAGGAGGCCGGCGAGCGAAGCUCGCCCGGCGGACGACGGACGGCGGGCCUUCCUCCCUUCUUCACGAGGGGGUCCUUUGGCUGAGAUGCGACGGCGCCCCUGGGGGUACAACAUGGAGGCGGAGUUGGCGUGCUCGGGCGGCGUGGGAUCCCGGCGGCGCUGCGGGGGCUGGCGGCGGCGGAUCUGGGGUUCCCCACCCCAGAUCGGUUCUCCUCCGGGUGGUCGGGCUCAGGCGCCGUCCAGCGGCCCUAAGCGGUGGUGGACGCGCGCGUUGACUGUCCUCCUUCACAGAUGUGAUUGGAAACGACAGGAGGUGUUGGCGUGCUGCUAGAUCUGAACAAGGUGAUGGCGUCAUCCCCUUCAUCAGGGAUGACGACCAGGUGGUGGGUUCUUGUGGCGUCGCCGGUGGCGGCGGAUCUUGGGAUCCAGUUCCCGGGGACGUCGUGGGAUGUGGUGGCCCGUGCAGGAGAGAUGGGUUCUUCGAACAGAUCUGGGUCAAAGCUUGCUUUCGGCUAUUGCUAAGGUCGGCGAUGGCGGCGCUGUCUACAUCGUUCCCUUCCUGAAGGCAUCGCCGAGGAGAACUUCAGGGCCACUCUCUGCUACCUCCUGGGGUAACCCUAGAUCAGUAGAUCGGAUGACGGCGACGCUCUGGUGUCAUUUCCCCCUUGGGGGCGUCAUUCAUGGUGGUACACACGGGCUCGAGGGACCAUUGGUCGGCAUUUACGAUGGAGCAGCGUUCCUAGUGACACAUCGACGUUGUGGAGUCUCGGCGGCGAGGCGCGGCAAAGUCUCGGCAAUGAAUGCAUGAUGAUGAGCACGCGUAGGGAGGAGGCGUUGUCUGGCGCCGUGGGGGCAUCGAUGGCAGGCCUUGCAAGGUCGAUGCGUCAGUAAUUUUUCUGAAGAUGGAUUGAUGGAAGGCGGCGACGACGACCUAUGAGGGUGCGUCGGACCGUUUGUGCCCCUGACCCGGUAUGUGGCUCUGUCGGGGCCUCCGGCUUUAGAUGUUAGGCUAGGUGAGAGGUCUGGGUAUGUGGCUCACACUUUCUGCACCCCCUUCAUCAUUGUAUAUGAGUAGCGACAGAUGUUGCCAAGAGGACGGCUUCAGACAUACGCUUAACACUCUAGCUAAUUGACCACCAGUAGCACGGGAGAGGUGUUUUGGCUCCCGGGUAUAUGCACUCGGAUGAACAGUACUGCGAAAAAAGUUCUAAUUUUUUUUGUAGAUGAUUGUAUUAGUGUCGCAAAUAUGCAUGACAAUUUUCGUGCGAUAAGGAGCAACGGUGUUUCAUCAGCAAAAAAGACAAAUUUAGGAUGACAUUUUGGGGUAACUUUUGGUGUUCAAUUUGUUUUUCUUGCACAAACCAAAAUGUUUUAUCUUUUUGUCUCAAAAUUUACAAGUAGUAUUUGGAUGUGACAAAGCAUACAAACAAAUUUUGUCUCAUUUUUUUCCAUUUCAAACUUUUUUUUGGCCCCGAAAGCAUAUGCCGGGAGCCGAAUUGCAUUUCCGCCGGUAGCACUAGUUACAUACACACUAGACUCCGCGCAAUCCCAUGAAAUCUGUUUGGCGAUUAACAUACGGCUAAAUAUCAACAUGCAAAUAUUAUCUUACCAAAUGUACCAAAUGUGUAACUAGUAUCUUAAUUCUACUCCCUUCAUAAACUAAUAUAAAAACAUUUAAAAACAAUGCUUUAGUAAUCUAAACGCUUUUAUUUAAUUUACAAAAGGAGUGCUACCUAAUAUCAACAUGCAUUGCACCAACUCCCUUCAAGGUCUAAUGCGUUUUUAGGGUUGCCCUUGACUAUUGAUAAGAUUAAUAAUAUAUGAGAUCUAUGAUAAAGAGUCUUUUCACAUCCGAAUUUGACAAUAUACCUGUAACAUGCAAGUUAUAUAUAUAUAAUUGCUCUAACCCGUGGCCAAAGGAAAUCUUGCAAAAUGUAUCGGAUGAAGGGAGAACAUGAUAAUACCAGUCUAACAAAUAUAUCCUCUCCAAUCGCAAACAUUUAUCCCCUUGGAUCACAACCAUGCAUACCCCUUUUGAGUACUCCCUCCGUCCCAAAAUUAAUGUCGAGCAUGUAGUUCAUUGGGAAUUUUGCAAAAAAAAACCUCGUAUUUACAAAAUCGUCUCAAACAAGCACCUCCACCCCUAUCUUCUUCGUCCGUCCUCGCCCGUGCAUCGCGAGAGGCCGCGCCGUCGAACUGGAAGGGCUCCGCCGCCGUCGCCGCCAAUUACCUCCUCCAUCACCACAACCCAGAUCUGCGCCACCGGAUCUCUUCCCGCUGCAGUUACCUGUCGGCGUCGUUCUCGAGCUCCUGCCGGCGUCGGAACCUUCCGCCACUUCGUCCUCUGGCUCCCAUGCGUCAUCCUCGAGCUCCCGUGCAUCCUCCCCAAGCUCACGCGCAUCCUCGCUGGAAUCUCUACUGCUCCUUCUCCCUUGCAGCCGGUGUGCCUGCUUAUCCCCUGUCACCGGAGGAGCUCCUCUGCACGUACUUGUUGGAAUUAUGCCCUANNNNNNNNNNNNNNNNNNNNNNNNNNNNNNNNNNNNNNNNNNNNNNNNNNNNNNNNNNNNNNNNNNNNNNNNNNNNNNNNNNNNNNNNNNNNNNNNNNNNNNNNNNNNNNNNNNNNNNNNNNNNNNNNNNNNNNNNNNNNNNNNNNNNNNNNNNNNNNNNNNNNNNNNNNNNNNNNNNNNNNNNNNNNNNNNNNNNNNNNNNNNNNNNNNNNNNNNNNNNNNNNNNNNNNNNNNNNNNNNNNNNNNNNNNNNNNNNNNNNNNNNNNNNNNNNNNNNNNNNNNNNNNNNNNNNNNNNNNNNNNNNNNNNNNNNNNNNNNNNNNNNNNNNNNNNNNNNNNNNNNNNNNNNNNNNNNNNNNNNNNNNNNNNNNNNNNNNNNNNNNNNNNNNNNNNNNNNNNNNNNNNNNNNNNNNNNNNNNNNNNNNNNNNNNNNNNNNNNNNNNNNNNNNNNNNNNNNNNNNNNNNNNNNNNNNNNNNNNNNNNNNNNNNNNNNNNNNNNNNNNNNNNNNNNNNNNNNNNNNNNNNNNNNNNNNNNNNNNNNNNNNNNNNNNNNNNNNNNNNNNNNNNNNNNNNNNNNNNNNNNNNNNNNNNNNNNNNNNNNNNNNNNNNNNNNNNNNNNNNNNNNNNNNNNNNNNNNNNNNNNNNNNNNNNNNNNNNNNNNNNNNNNNNNNNNNNNNNNNNNNNNNNNNNNNNNNNNNNNNNNNNNNNNNNNNNNNNNNNNNNNNNNNNNNNNNNNNNNNNNNNNNNNNNNNNNNNNNNNNNNNNNNNNNNNNNNNNNNNNNNNNNNNNNNNNNNNNNNNNNNNNNNNNNNNNNNNNNNNNNNNNNNNNNNNNNNNNNNNNNNNNNNNNNNNNNNNNNNNNNNNNNNNNNNNNNNNNNNNNNNNNNNNNNNNNNNNNNNNNNNNNNNNNNNNNNNNNNNNNNNNNNNNNNNNNNNNNNNNNNNNNNNNNNNNNNNNNNNNNNNNNNNNNNNNNNNNNNNNNNNNNNNNNNNNNNNNNNNNNNNNNNNNNNNNNNNNNNNNNNNNNNNNNNNNNNNNNNNNNNNNNNNNNNNNNNNNNNNNNNNNNNNNNNNNNNNNNNNNNNNNNNNNNNNNNNNNNNNNNNNNNNNNNNNNNNNNNNNNNNNNNNNNNNNNNNNNNNNNNNNNNNNNNNNNNNNNNNNNNNNNNNNNNNNNNNNNNNNNNNNNNNNNNNNNNNNNNNNNNNNNNNNNNNNNNNNNNNNNNNNNNNNNNNNNNNNNNUGUUGGAAUUAUGCCCUAGAGGCAAUAAUAAAUGUGGUUAUUAUUAUAAUUCCUGUAUCAAGAUAAUAGUUUAUUAUCCAUGCUAUAAUUGUAUUGAAUGAAGACUCAUUUACAUGUGUGGAUACAUAGACAAAACACCGUCCCUAGCAUGCCUCUAGUUGGCUAGCCAGUUGGUCAAUGAUAGUCAGUGUCUUCUGAUUAUGAACAAGGUGUUGUUGCUUGAUAACUGGAUCACGUCAUUGGGAGAAUCACGUGAUGGACUAGACCCAAACUAAUAGACGUAGCAUGUUGAUCGUGUCAUUUUGUUGCUACUAUUUUCUGCGUGUCAAGUAUUUAUUCCUAUGACCAUGAGAUCAUAUAACUCACUGACACCGGAGGAAUGCUUUGUGUGUAUCAAACGUCGCAACGUAACUGGGUGACUAUAAAGAUGCUCUACAGGUAUCUCCGAAGGUGUUAGUUGAGUUAGUAUGGAUCAAGACUGGGAUUUGUCACUCCGUGUGACGGAGAGGUAUCUCGGGGCCCACUCGGUAAUACAACAUCACACACAAGCCUUGCAAGCAAUGUAACUUAGUGUAAGUUGCGGGAUCUUGUAUUACGGAACGAGUAAAGAGACUUGCCGGUAAACGAGAUUGAAAUAGGUAUGCGGAUGCUGACGAUCGAAUCUCGGGCAAGUAACAUACCGAAGGACAAAGGGAAUGACAUACGGGAUUAUACGAAUCCUUGGCACUGAGGUUCAAACGAUAAGAUCUUCGUAGAAUAUGUAGGAUCCAAUAUGGGCAUCCAGGUCCCGCUAUUGGAUAUUGACCGAGGAGUCUCUCACGUCAUGUCUACAUAGUUCUCGAACCCGCAGGGUCUGCACACUUAAGGUUCGACGUUGUUUUAUGCAUAUUUGAGUUAUAUGGUUGGUUACCGAAUGUUGUUCGGAGUCUCGGAUGAGAUCACGGACGUCACGAGGGUUUCCGGAAUGGUCCGGAAACGAAGAUUGAUAUAUAGGAUGACCUCAUUUGAUUACCGGAAGGUUUUCGGAGUUACUGGGAAUGUACCGGGAAUGACGAAUGGGUUCCGGGAGUUCACCGGGGGGGGCAACCCACCCCGGGGAAGCCCAUAGGCGUUGGGGGAGGCACACCAGCCCUUAGUGGGCUGGUGGGACAGCCCACAAGUGCUCUAUGCGCCAAGAGAAGAAAAAUCAAGAGGAAAAGGGAAAAAAAAGGAGGAGGUGGGAAAGGAGGAGGACUCCCUCCCACCAAACCUAGUCCAACUCGGUUUGGGGGGGGGAGAGUCCUCCCCCUUGGCUCGGCCGACCCCCUUGAGGGUCCUUGGACCCCAAGGCAAGGCCCCCUCCCUCCCACCUAUAUAUACGGAGGUUUUAGGGCUGAUUUGAGACGACUUUUCCACGGCAGCCCGACCACAUACCUCCACGGUUUUUCCUCUAGAUCGCGUUUCUGCGGAGCUCGGGCGGAGCCCUACUGAGACAAGGUCAUCAUCAACCUCCGGAGCACCGUCACGCUGCCGGAGAACUCUUCUACCUCUCUGUCUCUCUUGCUGGAUCAAGAAGGCCGAGAUCAUCGUCGAGAUGUACGUGUGCUGAACGCGGAGGUGCCGUCCGUUCGGUACUAGAUCGUGGGACUGAUCGCGGGAUUGUUCGCGGGGCGGAUAGAGGGACGUGAGGACGUUCCAAUACAUCAACCGCGUUCUCUAACGCUUCUGUUGUACGGUCUACAAGGGUACGUAGAUCACUCAUCCCCUCUCGUAGAUGGACAUCACCAUGAUAGGUCUUCGUGCGCGUAGGAAAAUUUUUGUUUCCCAUGCGACGUUCCCCAUCAGUACUGCUGCUGGUCAUCUGCCUGAGUUGUUGCUGCUCCUCUGCUGGAGUUGAUGCUCCUCUGCUCGAUCUACUCUGCCGCUGGUGAAGCUCUGCCCGUGGUACUGCUAUUCCUCUGCCCAUUUGCACCUGAAGAAGGUACUGAUGAAACUGUUUGUUGUUUACUGCUACCUAAAACUGCUGUUGUUUGAGAAACUGCAUUGCUUGAGAAACUUGUAAUGUUGUGGUAUCGAAAAUAAUUUUGUGCAAUACUUGUAAUGUUGUGGUAUCAAAAAUAAUUUUGUGGAGUAUCAGAAACAGAGAAGCCUGGUUCAAGGUUUUGCACUGGAAACAGAGCAGUCUGGUUCAAGGUUGUGCACUGGAAACAGAGCAAUCUGGUUCAAGGUUUUGCCUAGAUAAACCAGACCGGAUGAGAGACCAAAUACAUGGGCAAGUAGUCAAAAGAAACACAUAAUUUGCCUAGAAUCUUGUUGUCCUGUGAUGCAAGAAAAUUUCACCAUGUGUAUGUUGUGGAACGCUUACAGUUGCACAAAUCAGACAUAUCAGUAGGUUGGUUCAGGUGUUGGUUCUUGGCCUAUUAACAUAGAAAGCCCCUUUGUAACUACUAGGACAAUCAGCUUGUGUAAAGAUCAUAUUUAGAGACGAAUUGCAAGCAUUAACCUGAUCUUAACAUAUAUAAAUGGAUAUUAAGUUUUCCAUUUUAGGCGAAUACAGAUAGAGGUUUCAACUAGACCUAGUGAGAAAUGGUUCCAUGGUAGCAUUUCUUGUUUGGCUGUCGUAGCUCGAUUACAUAUUGUUUUUACGUGCGUAUAUAUUCUUGUUACAGUACCAUGGUGUACUCAUCUUUUGUCAUUGAUAGCAGGAGUAUGGAUUUGAACAUGAUACCUCAAGAGGAGGAUGAAGGUAUUAAUUUGAAUUGGAUCCCUCAAGAGGAAGAGGCUCAAGGGGGAGAGGAUGGAGGUAUGGAUUUGAACAUGAUGCCUCAAGAGGAAAAGGAUGAUGGUAUUAAUUUGAAUUGGAUCCCUCAAGACGAAGAGGAUCCAGGGGGAGAGGAUGGAGGUAUGGAUUUGAACAUGAUGCCUCAAGAGGAAGAGGAUGAAGGUAUUAAUUUGAAUUGGAUCCCUCAAGAGGAAGAGGCUCAAGAGGAAGAGGAUGAAGUUAUGAAUUGGAUACUUCAAGAAGAAGAAGAAGGUCAAGAAGGUGUACCAGGUAAACAGAAAAGAAAAGAAUUGUCAAAUAAGGAGAGGCAUGCUGUUUACUUUGCUCUGCUAGUAAUCGAGCUCAGAGAUGGAUCUGUUCAACCAAACGACAAGCUGCUAGUAUCAAUCUUGUUGAACAUACAUGUACGAUCUAUUGAGAGAAUCUGGUCGGAGCCAAAAAGCAGAUUGCCGCGGGCCAAGAAGUAGAUGUCUCCAACAAGAAGAAAGGAAGAGUUGGUCGAAAGAGAAAAGAGCUGGAUCUUGCAAGGACCUCAACAAUCCCAUUGAAUAGAAGAAGGACAAUUCGAUCUCUGGCACGGUCUCUCGGUGUGACCCGCUCAACCCUACAUCGGAGGUUCCAGUUAAAUGAGCUCAACCGCAUCACAAACACAGUCAAGACUUACCUCAAACCAGAGAACAAGAUUGCAAGAUUGAAGUUUUGUAUGUCCAUGCUCGAUGACAAUUGGAUCUCAACUUCCCAAGCUAUAUUCAAGCCAAUGACUAAUAUGGUCCAUAUAGAUGAAAAGUGGUUUGACAUGACAAGACUAAAGAACAACUACUAUGUACUUCCAGGAGAGCCUCCACCUGAGCGCACCGUGACAAACAUUAACAUCAUUGGGAAGGUAAUGUUUCUAACGGUUGUGGCCAGAUCUCGAUACAAUUAUGAUGGAGAGCUAACAUUUGACGGGAAGAUUGGUAUUUGGGCAUUCAUCAAAGAGUCUGAGGCAGUGCGAACGAGUCACAAUAGAGCAAGGGGAACGACAGUGCUGAAACCAGUGAAAGUAACGAGACCUGUGUGUAGAGAAUAUCUGAUCAAUAAGGUUAUACCAGCAAUUCAAGAUAAAUGGCCUGACGAUGAUGAGGGAGCAACAAUAUUCAUCCAACAAGAUAAUGCAAAGCCUCGCGUUCUUCCCAACGAUGAAGCUUUUCGAGAAGCUGUGGAAGAAACUGAUCUCGACAUUAAGUUGAUGCAACAACCUCCAAACAGCCCAGAUUUGAACUGUUUGGACCUCUGCUUCCACAAUUCUCUCCAGUCUCUAACCGAUUGUAGGUCACCUACAAACAUCCAGGAACUGAUACAGGGUGUGGAAGAGGAGUUUGAGAAUUAUGAUCCUCACAAGUUGUACAACAGCUUCAUCACAUUGCAAGCAGUUAUGUUUGAAAUUAUGAAAGAUCAAGGAGGAAACCAAUAUAAGUUGCCCCACUUACACAAGGAACGUCUUCAGAAUGACGGCAGAGAAAUAACAAGUGUAUAUUGUGACAGUCAGCUAGUUGCUGAUACUAGGGCCAUUCUAGAAGAAAUGCAAUAGGAAAAGGAAAGGAAGAAAAGAAGUAGUUGUAGAAAGGAAAAAAAGAAUUGAACUUAUCUGAAUUGUACUCCUUGUGUACUCCUUGUACUCCUUGUGUAUGUCUUGUGCAAUAGGAAAAUGCAAUUGGAAUCAUUUGAGAUCAAUGAUGAUACUGGUUAUCCAACAUUUCCAUCUUGUGUAUCGGAAUUCAUUUUAAUUGUUUGGACUAAUUUGUUUGAGUUUAUCUUGAGUUUAUCCAGCAUUUCCAUCUGUAUUGGAGAUCAAUGAUCUUGUGUAUUGGAAGGGUCAUGUACAUGGGGAUGUUGCCUCAAGUUUUAUUAAAUUUAUUGUUUCAGGUUUCAGUAUACAAAGAUUACUGGGGUAUUGUCUAUAGUUUGGAUAAACCAAAUAAAGUUCACAAAUCUUUAUUCCCUUUGUGCAUAAAGUUUACAAAUCCCAAGCAUAGAGUUGGGAUCAACAAAAAAAUUCUAAGCUUACAAAUCGUGAGUGCUUUCAUCUCAAAAAAAUUCUAAGCUUACAAAUCCAGAACUGGUAGCCUUCCUUAUCUCAAUUCUCUGGUACUGAUUUUUGCUCUCUUUUUUUACCUUCCUUCAACAAGUUGUUCCUUGAACUGCAGGUACUCAGGGACAGUCAACUCCUCGUCGUCUGAAUUCUCAAGUACAGUAGUACUAGUAGCUUGGUUCAGGUUGAUUCUCAAUGAUGCCCUGCACUUGACACUAAAGCCUCCAGCCUGCAGAUAUACAAACGAAAUACAGAUACAUGCAUCAGUCUGAACCUGAAGAAGAAGGAAUGCAACCUGUGAAAUGUGUGAAAUGCUCCUACCAACAGACAAUGGAUGGUUUUUUUGUUUUGAUUGGUCUUGCUCUCGGUUUGAAGAUGAAGUGGUGUUAUUUCGCUUACCGUUGAUGUUCAAGUGUAGGCUUUUGCCUGCCCAGCACCUCUUAACCAUGUCAUCUCCUUGCAGUGCGUCUGGUUCAGGCCGAGCUCCGGGAAGCGGCUGCGCAUCAGCGGCAGCAGCGUGUCCGACGUCCCCAGGUACAUGGACUGGAAGUUGGCCUCCUGUUUCUACACGAGCACCCUGAUGAAGAGGUCUUCGGGGAGAGCUGGGGCGACUUGUUGCCAUCUGGUGAGGACGUCCACGGCGCCCUGGUCGACGGACUUCGUGACGCUGAACAUUGUCACUGUCGGGGGACGGGAACGUGCUUCACCUGCCACGAGAGCACGACGCCGAAGCUCUCGCCGACGCCGUUUCCGACGCAGCCGGAGAAGACGGCGGCGGUAGGUGGAGAAAUCAUUGCUUUUUAUGAGGAAGGGGGAAGCUUGGGGAGGCAGGCGAGUCGCAACUGCGGCGGCGGAGCGGCGGGGGACCGGGGGAGCAGGGGAGUUGCGGCAGGCGGAGCUGCAGCGGGCGAGCGGCAGCUGCGGCGGGGGAGUAGGGCAGCUGCGGCGGCGAGGAGCAGGCAAGCUGUAGCGAGCGUAGAUGGGGCAUCUGUCGGAGGAGGAGGACGAGGAGCGCGGGUUUGGUCGGGAGAAGCUGUAGGGGCUUUUCGCAAAAUUACCGUCGCGACAUUAAUUUCGGGACGGAGGGAGUAGCAUCUAAUCCUUCCAAAUAACACAGAACAUACGUGUUGCACGACCCAAAUGGGGCCCGGUCAAUGACAUCAAUCCCAUAUGUCACUCUCUGCUCCUACUACCUCGCUGUCCAUUACUUCAUGGUAAAUCUGGGGACGAGGAGGACAUGGUCGUCUGUCUGGCUCUUCACCUCCCUCGGGAGCAGUGCACUCGACCACGGUUGGACUCUAACCGGUGGAAAUCCAUGGUGUCCGUUCAAAUGUCGUUUGGAUGCGCAGGGAUGAUUGCUCGAGGCGUGCGGGCGCGGCCUCGACGGACACAGUGAUCGCCGUCCAAUUCUAGUAUGAUGAUGCAACCCCUUUGGUGGUGCCUCAUCCCUACGCCCUCGGGCUCGGAGUCGAAGAUCUGCACCGGCAUGAGUUACGGUCCAUCUUCUAACAUGGAGUGGCAUACCCGUCGUGCAAGGCAAAGGCCGCGUGGCGAGACGUAGAUGCUCUAACCACAUCUAGAUGGGAUCACAUCGAUUUAUGAUAUCCCGACUUCCCGAUCAACGAGUCUCCUCUGAUCAAAACCAUGUUACCCUAAUAUGCAUGUAAAAAAGUUAGGCUAAUAUGCGCGUAAAAAAGUUGAUUAACUGCUGCUAAAAUGGUGUGAUGUGAUAAGCCGGCCCUCCCCAACAAGAAAUAAUAACAACUGCCCCCCUAUCUCUCAUAUCCAAUUUAUAUAUGAGCCGGAUAUAGCGAGGACUGGAUGCGUCCGUCAGGUUGUAUCCGGCUCACGCUGGUUCAUCCCGACCCAUAUAUAUCCGUCUCUAUCUCCAACCUGGACGAAACCCUAGCUACUCCACCCCUCUUCUUAGCUCCGUUCCGAUGAUCUCCAGCCAUCUCCGACAUUACAGGCAGCGUCCGACACGGAGUUGGGAUCUCGCCCCAUGCGGGGAUGAGGAGGACAUGGCCGUCCGGCCGGCACUUCGCCGCCCCCGGAAGGAGUGCGCUCGACCACGGUUGGACUCUAUCCGGCAAAAACCCAUGGUGUCCGUUCAAAUCUCGCUUGGAUCCGCAGGGAUGAUGGCUCGAGGCGUCCGGGCGCGGCCUUGCCGGACGCGGUGACCACCAUAAUAUUCUAACUCCGGGAUGGCGAUGCAACCCCUCCGGUUGCGCAUCAUCCCUAACAUGGAGCGGCGUACGCCGUCGUGCGAGGCAUAGGACGCGGGGGCGAGGUGUAGAUGCUCUAACCGCAUCUGGAUGAGAUCACAUCGAUUGAUGAUGUCCGGAUAAACGAGUCUCCUCAGAUCAAAACCGUGUAAUAAUCCUACAAAAUAAAGACAUCGCCCAACGUGUUCCAGAACGCUCUGAAUGAGACCCCGCGAAUGGCAACAACCAUACCAUUUAUGAGCAAGUUUUGUCAGUCCCCCCACCCGGCCAGCCCGUGACAUCGAUGUAGCAGCUUCCGUUCCUAUUUAACCAGCGUACCAUUUGCACUACAUUGCAUCACAGCAAGCACACACACACACACACUCUCUAGAGAAAUGGCGAUGGCUAGGACGACGGCGCUCCUCCUCGUCGCCGCGGCUCUCCUGGCGGCCUCAUCCAGCGCAUGGGAGGUGAACAUCCAGAUGCCGGCGUCGGCGGCCGUGGACGAUGCUGUGGCACCGCUCAUCCACGCGCUGCGGCCGCUCCUGGGCUCCGGCAAGCAAGCCGGCGUGGCGUGCGAUAGCUGGCGGCUGGGCGUGGAGGCGCACAACGUGCGGGACUGGAAGACGGUGCCCGCCAGCUGCGAGGAUUACGUCGGCCACUACAUGGUCGGCGACCACUACCGCCGGGACUCCAAGGUCGUCAUCGACCAGGCCAUCGCCUACGUCGACUCCCUCAAGCUCGCCGGCAACGGCAAGGAGGUCUGGGUCUUCGACGUCGACGAGACCACCCUCUCCAACCUCCCCUACUACGCCAAGCACGGCUUCGGGUACGU